AGACGACGAAGAGUGGCCAGUGGCAUCAACAUCAACUUCAUCAUCAAAGGGGUUGGUGUUGGUCAAAGUCUUCUUAGAGGAAUUAUACUUUUUAUCGUUCGUCUCUUCAUCAGAAUCAAAGGGGUUAUGGGCAUGGCCAACAGAACUAGGUUUAGCAUCUCUCAGAGGAGUUUUCUUUGAACCAAACAUCCUCUCUCAAUCUCUCUCUAAAAAAACAGUGAUCUUGUGUAUCAAUUUGGUCCUGGAACUUCAAAACAAGCAAAAAUCCAAAGAUCAAAUUCAAGUUCUUUAGCAUAAACCCUCCACUAAAAAUUGAAUUUUGAAAUUAAGAUGAAUCCAAAUUCAUAUCAAUUAAAGUGGAAUUAUGUAAAUUGAAGUUCAAAGAAAUGUAUAAUCGCAGAACUGAAAGUGAAAACUAGAUAAGAAUGAUAAAAAGAAAGGCCAGAACAGAACAUAGUUGUAGAAAGAGAAAAAAAGGUACCUGAUGAUGAAAAAAAUGUAAUUACACGAAGGAAGGAGGGAAGUAUAGACAACGAAUAUGAGGCUAAGAGGGUUGGAUGGUUUCAACGCGGAAGCUCUGCAAAAUCCCGUUGAAAAUUCACGCGAUUGCUCACCGCUGAUGUAUGCGCUCGUUUGAAUUAUUAUGACAGAGUUGCCAGCGAUGACAUUUUCUUUAAAUCAUCAAUAUUAUAUUAUUACUAGUCACUAACCCGUGCGUACUCACAGGUUGCUCGAUUAACCAAACCUAAAAGAUUGAUGUUCAUGUGAAUUUGAAACCUGUACAUACGUAUGGGGUCACUUGAUUUAGGGAUUUCAAAGGUUGAUGUUUAUGCGAAUUUAGAACUUGUGCAUACACAUAGAUCAUUAAGAAAACUUGAUGUUCAUGCAAAACAAUUGUUUCACAUGAUAAAAUUAACAAAAUAAAUGUUUAAAACUAAAAGAGUUAAAAAGUAAAAAGAAAGUGUAAUUAAAUUGAGAAUUGAAAUUUCAAAUAAGUCAAAUAGUUUUUUUUAUAAAUAUAAAUUAUAAUAUAAAUUAUUCCAUAUUUACAUUUGUCAGGUCACAUAACAAUUGUUAAUUUACACUUAAACACUGAAUUUCAAACACCUCAACAAUGACCACAUUAUUUCCUCUAAUUACCUGCAAUAAAAGAGAGAAAAAUUAUCAAUUUUAAAUCCAUGUUCAUGUUCUAUUAACUGCACUGUCUUAACAACUUAAAUUUAAAAGAUACAAAAGAAUAGGUCUCACCACCAUUCCUAUGGGAUUUUUUUCAUUGUCAUUCACUUCACCACAAAAAAAACUUCAAGUGAAAGAUGAGAGGAACACUAAUGUCUUAAAAUCCCGUGAAAAAACAUGAAACAAACAAUAAUAACUAAAUAAUAAUGAUAACACAUAAUAAUAAUAAUAAUAAUAAUAAUAAUGAAAUAAAUUAAUUAAUUAAAUACAAAAAGAGAAAGUAAGGAAAAUUUCUACUUUUCAUUACACUACCAACGUGAUUUGUCUCUCGUGUGAAUCUCAGUAUUAAAGUUGGUAGAGUAUUUUCAAUUAUAAUAAAUAAGAAAUUCAGAGUAUAAUUUGUUUUCACUCAUAAAUAUAAAGAGAAAUAACUAAAAUACACAGAAAAUCAGAAAUAUAUUAUGUACAUAAAAAUGCAGGAAGCAAUCAGCAAUAUAAAAAUAGAAACAUUAUUAAUUAACUGAAAAAGAAAAAGACGAUUUAAAAAAUAAAACAUAAAAAAGGAUAUAUAAUAAGUUGAAAAGUUAAUAAGAUAAAAAAUAAACACACUUGCUAAAGUUAAAUAAAAAACACAUAAUAAUAAUAAUAAUAAUAAUAAUAAUAAUAAUAAUAAUAAUAAUAAUAAUAAUAAAAUAAAUAAAUAAAUAAAUAAAUUAAAUACAAAAAGAGAAAGUAAGGAAAACUUCUAAUUUUCAUUGCAUUAUCGACGUGAUUUAUCUCCCGUGUGAAUCUCAGCAUUAAAGUUGAUAGAGUAUUUUCAAUUACAAUAAAUAAAAAAUUCAGAGUAUAAUUUGUUUUCACCCAUAAAUAUAAAGAGAAAUAACUAAAAUACACAGAAAAUCAAAAAAUAUAUUAUGUAAAUAAAAGUGCAGGAAGCAAUCAGCAAGAUAAAAAUAGAAACAUUAUUAAUUAAAUGAAAAAGAAAAAGGUGACUAACCCUUUAUUCUUUUUAUAUAAAAAUUUUCAAACCCCUCCAGAAAAAGAAAAACUACUUGACAUAUCCUAUUUUAUACAUCCAGUUUAUCAAAACAUGGGCUUUCAAUUUAAUUAUAACUCAUUAAGUAUCGUAAUCAAGUGACAUAGACAUCCUCUUGAUGAUUUCAUUUUCAUCCAGAAAAGGGAAAACUACAUUGCAAUAUGAAACUCUCUUUCACUCUCACAGAUCAAACUAACUUAUAUAUGAUCAAUACAACAUAUAUUGUAAAAUAGAAAUUAUAUAUAAUAUUUUGUUUAUUUCUUAUUUCGCUGAUCUUACUAUUACACCCUUCAUCCACAAUUUCUGUAAUUUGGCCAAAGGUGACGCACGGUAGACAGCAAGUUAUCAAACCUGCAUUAUUGAUAAUUACAAAUUAAUCAUUGAAUCAUGUAAGAAAUCAAUUUUAAUUUUUUAUUGAAUUGUAUCGUACUAAUUAUGUAGCAAAAAAAAUGUACAACUUAGGAGCGAGAGAUGAUGUUUCUAUUUCGUCAAUGUCUCGGAGCUACAUAUAUUAUAUUAUAUUGAUCAUAUAAAUAGAUAUAGAUAUAGAUUUUACAUGUCUUGGGGUCUUCUCCACAGCCACAAAAUUUUCCCUUGUCAAUAUAUUUAUACCUACCCAACAGAUUGGAUAAUUAUUCUUAAAGAAAGAAAUGAAAGAAAAAAAGCACUAUUAAUGAAUGAAAUAAGACAAAAUGAAAGGUUGUCAGAGAAAAGAAUAUAUAUAGACAACAAUAGGAUAUUGUAAAGUGGCUGGAAAAACGGCCAAUUCUUAUUCUCUGACAUUAAGCCAAAUAGAUAUUAAAUAAUGCAUUGUGAAUGUGAAAUGCAGGAAAAAUAGCAUGCCUGAUAAAAUUCUUACUUUCUUUCCCACCCAUUAUUUUUUAUUGAUCAAACUAUAAACUGGUUGUGUGUUUCAAGCUGUUUAUUUUUUAUUAUCUUGUUAGAAAAUUAGACUAAGGUUUCAAAUCAAUCGAACUAUGACUAUUUUUUUUAUUAAUGCAAUCUGUUUUCAAAAUAUUACAUGAGACAUUUAUAUUGAAGCUAGAGAAAUUAAAUGAUUUCUAUGAUUCUAUUCCUCCAUUCUCUUGUUCUCCAAAAGAGGGACAACGGCGAGUAUGAUUCUGAGUUAUCAUAGACUUCACACUCUUCCUUUGCUUGCUCUUGGCUUUUCCCCUAAAUAACAGCAUAAAAACCAAUAACCGCUAUGGCUGCUCCAAGCACACUGUACAUAAACAAAACCAUACUUACAUAAUUGUAUUCCUUCUAAGAUUAAAGUAUUUUUAAGUUGCAUUCACACACAUGCAAACAAAAGGUCCCCCUUUCAUAAUUGUAGUCCUUAGACUAAAGUAUUUUUUAAAUUGCAUUCAUUCACACGAAAACAAAAUGCUCUCAUUAAUAAAAUCAUAAGUCCAUAAGUGGACACACCUCCAAUUUUUCUUAUGAUUGAGACAUGAAAGAAACGUAUACCUUCCAAGAUUAAUAGAGCCACAAAGAAAGCCAAUUCCCAUGAUGAUUGCAAAGAUGAUUCCAAUUGGAUUAAACAUUGCAACAUAGAGAGGGCCCUUCUUGCUCAUGACCCAUAUAUGAACAAUAAUUCGAAGGGAUACACCAAAAAUUUCCUACAUUCAGACGCAGAUCAAGUUAAUCGAAAUUCAGAGCAAGAAAUAGAAGACUCAUGUUGAUAUAGGAAAUAGUAUCACUAUUUAUUCUUACUUGCAAUGCAAUAGCUAUCAAAUUCACAUCAAAUCCUAAUCUCAAAGCUUUUGGAUCCGUUACUGAAAUCAGUCAAGGUGGGAUAGAUAGAAAAAAGAAGUGGCAACCUUAUUGUCUCCUGCAUCAAAAACAAAAAAAAAAGGAAAAAAGAAGCAAGUGAAACAAUGGAACAAUUUUGAAACAUAAAGAAAUUACUUAAUUGCUGGUAAUUUUAAUUAAAAAAAAUAUCACCUUUGAAAUCUUACAUAUGUUGGUAGCAUCUAUUAUAUCUUACUGUAUAUGUUGUAUAUGUUCUCGUAUAAGGCUCAGAGAUACCCAAGACGCAAAGCAACAAAGAUCUUUAUGGAUUCCAUCAGCCAUCCUCUAACGUGAAAGAAAUCGUGCAGAACCAAUAUAUCCAACUGAAACAUGGAAGAAUGUGCAGAACCUAUAUAUCAAAAUGAAUAAAGAAGAAGAAGAAAAAUAUAGCAGCAAUACAAAUAAAUCAAUGAUAUAAACAGUGUUUGAGUAGAUGACAUAAACUAUACAGGAAUGAGAACCGAAUGAGGACUAAUCCAUAUACAGAAUCUACACAUACUAAUCUAAAAGCUAUAAUUGUUUGAAGGGUGCAUGAGAAAAUUCCUUACUCUUUAACUAAGGCAAAAAUUUCACAGCAUCAUUCGACCUUGUUUUCAAAUUGAAAGACUAAUUUAACCACUUACAAACACAAACCAAAUUACACAUCAAUUUUUUGUCGGAUAAGAGGUAAAUUAUAUAUCUAAGUUUAAAUUUGUGUGUAAACUUAUGGGUAUUAAUUACUAUCUAUCUAUAAAUUCAAUUGUAUAAAUAUUAUCAGUAAUGCUAUGUAGCACGAAAGUUUUCUGCACAAACACUAUAAGAAAACAAAAGCUGAAAUGUGAUUGGUUGAGUUUAGAUGAACAAUUUUGUAAUCAAAUCCUUUGACACAAAUUAACGGUGGUGAGCAGUGGUAAAACAUUUCGUGCUAGAACGAAUUCGUACUGAUAAACAUUUUCCAAAUAUUAUAUAGUGAGAUAUAAUGGAACUUUGGAAAUUAAUGAUAGCAAGCUAAGAUUUAGUGAAACUUACCAUGGCAAGAGAGAGGUGAGAAAUACAUAACAAUGUUUAAGCCUGCUCCCAUAACACCAACAACACCACCACGAGCUUCUCUUUGCAAUGCUAAUUGAGUAGUAACUACUGCUAUUGUCGAAAUUGCCACAUCCAAAAUCACAACCAAAAUGACAGUUCUACCUUGAAAUCAGAUUCAAAUUAAUCUAUCACCACUUAACAAUAAACAGGAUUUUGUAAGGUGAAUUAAUUAGAAAUUGGCUUAUAUAAUUAUAAUAUAAUUAAUUCAUUAAUAUAGUACAUAUUGAUUUUCUCUGCUAAUAAAACUAAGAAUAUUAAUAAUUAACAUUUGUUGUUAAAAAAAAGAAAUAUAUACUACACACCCUUAUCCCUUUUGGAGCAUAUAUGAGAAAUAGAAUAACAUAGAUUGUCUCCACCACAAUGCCAAAGCCAUCGGCAGUAGCCACGAGGUACUCUCUAGCCUUUAUGAUUCCAUAGUAAGUCCAUAAGGAACAAUUAAGCAAUGUGCAAAUGUAAGGAAGGCUUGAGAAAUCUUCCGUAGAUCCGUGCUUCUUUAUUUUCUAAAACGUAGGUCUGCAUCCUUUUGUUUAAUUUAUGUAUCAUCCAGUAGCAAUAAAUAUGAGAUAUAUUAUAAUCUAGAAUGCAAAUUAAGCAAUGAAAAGUGAACUCUGCAAUAUUAGUUGAUAGACUAUUUACUAAUAAACAAAAAUUUGUAUUUUGAAUAUUUGUUUAUUAUCACCUACAUGAUGUGCUGGUGCUUCCAAAUGAUAGAAUAAGUGUGGAAGUUUCUGGUGGGGUCGAACCAGAGAUAAAACAUGUAUUUGAAGACAGGGAUAAAUCAUGUUCUUCCAUGAAUAAUCAAUGCUAAAGCAACCUAAAAGAAGAAGAAAAAACAUACACACAUACAAAAAAGUCUACAGUAUCACUGUAUUAGCUCAUAUGAAGAAGGAAAGAAACUAAUAAUUUGAAUUAGUCUAUUUUUCUUAUAGUAAAAGCAAGGUAAAUGAGUAUACAAAAAAAAAAGAUAAGAAACAUGAUAAUAGCACAAAACAAUUUUUUAAUUUGGAAAAAAAUAGAAAAUAUAUUGGAAUAUGGACAAAAUUUAAAUACACUAAAAGUAUUAUUCUGUGAUCAGAAUUAGAGUUUUACUUCACUAAUCUAAUCGGUGUGUUGACAUUUAUUACGAACCUAUAUUACCCAAAUUAUCCAGGUAAAACUGUAAUUUAGAUUAAAAAAUAAUACUGAUGGGUCAUCAACUUUUAUAAGUUUAUGUUGACAUUUGUUAAUUUAUGUUGAGCAGGAACAGGAGAAAGAUGUUGCCCAAAUAAUACCUUAGAGCUUACACAGGAGAAAGAAACAUGAGAAUUGAGAUGAUGUUGCCUCCAUCAAAUUAACAAAGAACAAACAAUAUUUAUAUAUGAAGCACCCCUUUUUGGGGCAUUAAUCAAGAUUGGUCAUCAACUUGGCAAAACCGUGAAAGAAUGAUUACCUAUGACUCCAACAAAGAAACUUGCAUCUGCCAUGAUAUUUUGCAGACCAAGAAGCAAUAAGGUUAUUUUCCAAAUGGGGUGGUUUUGUUGGGUUAAUGAAAGGGUUUCAUUUUUUAUCUAGCAAUCAAAAUCUUAAUCGAGGGUUGUGAGAGGAUUUAUCAGCAUUGCAUAACCACUGCAUUGUCAUAUAAAAGUUUGCCUCGUCGUACAAAUGUCCAUGGAAUUAAUAAUGAUAAUGAGAUGCUCCCUAUCAAACUUGGUAGAGAAGAAUACUUAUUCACAUAUAAUAAUCCCCCUUAUCAUUUCAUUCACCCAGUAUGCGUUCUGCCCAAAUUCAGUUAUUUUAUUUUUCACAUUUAACAUGGGGAUCAUUCUGAUUUUAGUUUGAUUUAGUCAUUUAUAUUGAAAACAAACCUGAACAGCAGAUAUACUGAUGGCCCCAUCCAUAACUCCAGGACGAAUUCCUAGACACUGAAAUCAAAUGACAAAGUGACAGAAAAACAGUAAGCCAAGGUGCAGAGCAUGGAUGUCAUUUUUAUUUUGUCAAUAAUAAAGUGAUCAAGAUAGAUUAGUUCAAACAUAAAAACUCAAGUGUAAGUUUCCCUGCAUAUAGCAAAGCUUUUCACAUAGAAUUUUGCAAGCAAUACCUUUCUCCAUAAGUCAAUACCUGCCUUUCUAUAUUCUCUGAUGCAAUCAUCUGCAAAAGCAAUGAGUUUUGAAACACAUGACGUACUAUAUGAAAUCAAACCAACCCUAUACCCCUUUCUAGAUGUGACAAAGAAAUCCAUAAUAGAUCAUAAUAUAGAAGGAAACAAAGAUGCAAGAGAGACAAAUUAUUUUUAAUUCAGGUGCGGAGAGAAGAGUAAAUGAAAGAAAUUCCAUAUCAUUCAAACUACCAGUGAGAGUUAGAGAGAGCAUACUCUGGACUCUAAAUUCAUUACAACUGCAGACUCCGUGGAUGUCUUGGCAUGGUCAAGCUGUACCUGUGUAACUGUCAUUGCAGGAAGCCUAUAUUUAAUUUGGCACAUACCAGGAUUCACAGCAAGAGAAAAAAAGUAACCCAGAUUAAACCUUGUCCCGGUGAUGCAAUUGCUAUUAAUUCUCUGGCUGCUAAAUCCACAACUUUUGGCACAAAAUCAGAGGCCUAUAUUGAUGCAUAAGAAAAAGCACUCAAUUUUGAUAAAAAUAAAUAAAGAUUUGGUUAGAGGAAUGAAAUUGAAAUUAAGGCAGAUUAAUAAAAAUAAAUAAAGAUUUUAGGUAUUAGAUAAUGUUUAUCCAUGUAGCACUAUAUAUUAAUGCUGCCUGAAUUGUAUAUACUCAAGGAAAUACAUUUUAUUUGGAAGUUGUAAACUACAAAUGAACAACCUCUAUUGCCAUACACCCUCCUUGACCAAGAUUUGGUUGCAUUGGAUGUGCUGCAUCACCUCUGUAUAAUCAUAUGUUCUCAUGUUUCUGAUAUGAGUGCAAUCAGUUCAUCACACCAAUUACCAAAGAGAUCCAAAAGCCUAUUCUUCUUACCUGCUGUUACUCAGACAAAUGAAUUUGUUUCAAUUACAAUAACAAUUGAUACACACAACAAAAGGUAAACAUACCUUUUGGGAAAGGGUCACUUGAAGGGGGUUCCCCAUGGAAAGCAUACCACCGCAUCUUGCCAUGGCCAACAUCUGAAGCAACAAAGUACUGGUUCAAGCCCAAGAACACCGAUACCUUCAUGUAAUCACCAAAACAGAAACUUUAAAUAGUAGAACAGUUUAUAACAUUGUCCCAACAUUUUAUUUGGGAAUGAAGUACCCUAUCUUAGCUUGUUAAUCCACUAUAGCAUGUGAAACCCGAGUAAUUUGCUUCUUGCCGCCCAAAGAGUUUUGAACGCACCUAAGAAAAAAAAAAAGAAUAGAUUGAAUGGUAAAAGCAAGAAAAAGAAGAAACUCAUUUGUUAAUAAAGCUAGAAGGGAAGGAUGGUAUAUUUUACUUCUGACCAUAUUCCAUCUGCUCUUAUUAAAAUAUCACCAUCAUGUUGCUCUCCAUUUUCAAGGAUCACUAACCUGAUGUGAAUGAAAAGAUUAUUCAAAAUUGGAAAACCACUAACAUAAGUCUUAAUCAAUCAGAAAUUAGUUGUGCAGAGAAACUUAAACCUUGUUAGGUUCCUGAAUAAAAUAUUAAGCAUCAAAUUUUGAUGCUGCAAAAGAAAAAUGAACAGUAAAACAAUUUCCAACACAAACAACAAAGCCACAGACAUCCUGAUCCAAAUAAAAAUCACAAAAAACACAAAAAGAUACUGUGAGGUGCAGAGCUUGCAUGCAAAUCCAGAUAAUUAAGAAUUGAGGAAAAUGCAUAAAAACUCAUAAACUUUCCCAUAAAAGUCUGAACAAAAUAAAAAAUAUGAGUUUUAGAAAAAAACAACAACGAAGCAUAAAAAAACACAAAAAAUCAGACAAAAAACGGUGAUGAUCAUGCUUUCUAGACAUUAUAAAUGAAGUAGUCGGUAAAAGACAUUGAUUCGUGUCAGUGAAGUAUGAAUACUCACAAUCUGCAACUUGACGGUUUUCCCUUCUAGCUCCACGAUUCUGAUUUUCUGAAAAUAAAAUAAAAAUGAGUGUUGGACCAUAAAUAGAAAUAACAAAAGAGAAGAAGAGUGAUAAUUACGAAAUCAACUCCAAUAGUACUUACGUAGCUGUCGACCUAGGAGUCAUCCUGAAACGAAAUGAAGAAACAAAGGAAGUGAAUAAAAAGAGAGAUUAGGAGAAGCAAAUAAAGUAAUGACUCAUAGCGAAUCUGAGAAGCAAGCAAGAUUUUCAACGGAAAAGUCGCCGAUUAGGAGAAGCUUGAUUAGAUAAUCGUUGAAACCAAACCAAACCCCAAAUUAAACUCGGAGGCUAAAUUUAUAGUCUAAAGCCAAGCACAGAAAGGGAAACUCGGUUGAGUGCAGGAACGACGGCGAGAUAAAGCAUGGCUACCCAACCCAUCCUCAAAGCCAAACCAAAAUCGUUAAAAAAAAUAAAAAUAGAAUGAAGAUGAGAAGAGAAACAAAAAACAAAAAAUGCUUAGACUUUGUGUAAAGAAGAGAAGAGAUGAAGAGAGAGAAAACAUCUCAACGUGACAGAAAAAAGGCAACACAGGAGGCAGGUGGCACAAACCAAAGCAACAGGUGGCACAAAACCAAAGCAAAGCUGGAGGGCUAUAAAAUGACCAAAAAAACAAAAAAUUGAACAACUGUCAAGCUCUCAGCCAUGGGUAUUUUGACCAAAAAACCAAAAAAUUGGACAACUGUCAAGCUCUCAGCCAUAGGUAUUUUAGUAUAUUCCACAUACUUCAAUUUUAGUAUAUAGAUAUUGAUAUUGAUUAGGCUUAAUUUUAAAAUUCGUUUAUUAUUUUACAAAUUUCACUCAAUUCGUUUAUUAUUUUUUAAUUCACUAUCUUACAUAAAAAAAUAAAACUUAUAUAUAUAUAUAUUAACUUAUUCAAAAAUAAAAUUUAAUUUUAUAUAUUUUAUUUUAAAAGAUAAUAUAUAAGAUAAUAAAAAUAUAAUAAAUUAAAAAAAUUAAAUUUUAAACUAUUUUCACAUCAAUAAAUAUUACCAACUACCCAAAUAGACAAAUAGGUACAGUGAUAAAAGAGUUUGUUUCUUAUUUUAAAAAUAAAGACCAUGAUUCUUACUUUAAAGGUUAAAAUUAGCUCUAAACUAAGAUAAUGUAUUUUAAGAUAUAAGAUAACUCAAAUAGUGAAUUAAAAAAUAGAAAUAUCGAUUUAGUGUAAUAAACAAAUAAGGAACAAAUUUUACAAUUAAGCCUUUUAUAUAAAGUCAGUGCAUAAUUUUUUUUUUCACUUUUUAUAUUUACAAUAUCAUUUUAAUAUAAUUAAUACAUACAUAAUUUUCAUAUAUUAUAUUUACAAUAUCAUUAUAUUAUUUUUAAGUGAUAUAUAAAGUUUUCAGUUAUUUUAUUUUUAUACCUGCGCAUUACCCUGGAUCACAAUCUAGUUUAUAAUUUACAAUAAACAAAUGCAUGAAGAUCGCAAAACUUAAAUUUUAGUAUUCAAGUAGAAACUUACACAGUUAACCCGAAGAAAAUCUGGGUGGAUUACUAAUUUUAAAGCUAAUGACAAGAUUAUUUUACGGGUACCAUAUAUUUGAUAAUGAUAAUACUGAGAAUUUUAAAAAUACAGCCUAAUAAACAAUAUUAACAUAUCUAUAUGAUUUAGGGGUUGCUCUUAUUCAUUACAGAGGUAGUGAAUGAAAAAAAGAAUUGAAGAAGAGUAUAAUCUUUUAACAUACGGAAUUUAGGAAAACCAUCAAUCUAUAUUGACCAAAGUAAAAGUCUCUGUAUAUCAUAAAAUGAACAAAGUUGAGGAAGAAAGAAAUUUGAGGGAUUAAGAAUUAUUGAUAGAGUUCAAAAGCCCGCAGAGUUGAAUUCAGAGACGCUAACAUGUCAACUCCACUGCUUUAGUUUCAGAUUUUAUAAAAUUAACGUAUACAACAAGUAUUUGAAGACCUCAAUUUGAUAAAAAGCUAGAAAUUGAUGAAUUGAACAUCACCAAAUUUUAAAUUUCAAACUCUUCCCAAUAAAAUAUAAAACUUAACACCCUCCAGAGAAAUCAUUUUGGCACGGGAGCUAUUCAAAGCUGAAGCAGAAUGGUUAACAUUGUAGGCGUACCAAAUUGUUCUAAAACUACUCUAUUUUUGCAAAUUGUUUUUUUUUAUUAUGACUUUCAUAGAAAAAAGUCAUAUAAUUGCAAUAUUUAUGGCAUCCUUAUUGACUGGAAAUUGAUUUUUUUUUUUGCUCCUCUAACUAGGAAAUUUUUUCAGAUUUGUCAUUGCCAAAGUUUAAAAUGAUGCCACUUCAAGUCUGCUGGUGCUUAACAACAACAAAAAGCUCAAAAUGAUGGAAAUACUGGGAGCAGAGAUUAAUAUAUUUCCUAUCUAAAUAUCCAAAGUUUUUUCUUUUUUAUUAAGCAUACUUUAUGAAGAUUUGUGGACUUUAUGUCAUGUGUACUUGAAGUGCUUUGUUUUGCUCUAACAUAAGGUUUUAAGAUUCCACUAAGUGUGGUAGGUUCUAUUAUUUCAGUUAUUAUGUUGUAUCUUUGAUUUCUACUAGUGAGACCUCACAUUUUUUUCCAACAAUGAUGUUGCAUAUUUGUUCUAAUGUUCUCCUUUUUCACACAAUGAAAGCAUGCACGUAAAAUCAGGAGUGUUAAGCUUGAUUUUCAAUGAUGCAUUUAGAUUAAUGACACAGAUUAAAUAGGCUACUCGAACGGUAAUGGUACAACUGGUGAUGUGCUACCUUUACUCGGAAAGACACCUAUGUUAACCCUUACUACCAAAUAACAGUCAUAUAGGUAAUUGCUAUACUGGAUCUAACGUGUGCAUGCACCAUUUGUACAACAUGUGGCAAAGGCAAUACAUGAACAAUCACCAUGAUGAUUAUCGUUCUUGGAUUUAACCAAUCUUAAACAUGGAAACAAAUUAAAGAGGAAUCCUUACACAGUUGGGAUUUUGUGUUGAGACAUACAGUGGAAUAAAUAUACGACAAUGGGACAAAUCCUUUGCAACUAUGUUUGCAACGAAUGAUGAUAAUAAUAUUUUUGUAUUCUAAAUCAAUGCAAACUUGUGUCUCCUUUCCUUCUCUUCUGACAUCAGAUUCAUCUACUCUCUUACAAGAAACAAAUUGUUGAGUCUAUCUUUAACGUCAAACAAUCCAUACUCAAUGUGCUCAUAAGCUUCCUUACCAAGAAAAUCCUGCAACCUCCCAAUGAAGUUUCCAUAUGCUGGCAACAAGAUCUUUUCUAUGGAUUCUAUCAUUAUUCUCCUUAGCCCCUCAGUUGAGACAAACCACGUAGACUGAACGUUGCAUAUAUCAUCGAAGUGUCCGUUGAAGGAACGAAGCUUGUUUUUCAUUAACUGUGCCGCAACAUUAGGCUCUGACUCAUUGAUGUCCAGCUUCAAAAUAUCCAAGAUCUUAUUCCAUGAGUUUCUCAGAUAGAGUUGAAGGUUUUCUUGGAUACUAGUUGUGUUUUUUUCAAUCCAGUCAUUUCCAAGAAUAUAUCUCAAUUCACGCUGCAUUGCCCUUUGCUGUAUGUAGCUUCGAUUGUUGAUGAUGAAAACGUAACCCAAAAUAGGAUCAUGGUAAUUUUGGGAGUUGGCUUCCAAACUGCUGUCUAACAGGUCUGUUAUCAUGGCUAUGCUAUUCAGUGGAAAUCCUUCUUCAUAAGUCAUGGGGUUCAAUGAAUGCAAAUAAUGAAUCCCAGCGUAGUCCAGCACAUCAAGGGUAAUCUGAUGAACCCUGCCGCCGGGAACAAUGGCUUUCUCCUUAACACCGUAAGUAAGACUUAACAAUUCCCCGAACUGACGUAUUCCGUGUAAUGGUGAGACAAUGUCCAAAUCUAUCAACAACUUGUCCCGCAAUGCAGGGUAACUGUCCAAACUCUUCCGAAACCCGAACCUAUGUAUUCCGGGUAAUGCAGGGUACUUAUCCUCAAGGGGAAUGAACCCUUCAAAGACGCAUUCACAGAGUCUUCUUUCAUUGGGUAAUAGUAUCCUAUCAGCUAAGCACAAAGCUUUUAUAAAAAACUCGGUCUUAAUCGUGUUGCCAAUUUUGAGCUCUAUCCACCCUGAUAGUAUCUCACUCAGAAACUCCCUCCGCCAAGUAAUGUACACGUCAAUGCAUUCCUCCCUUAACCCUGCUGUCACCAUCAGCCUUACACAUUCACGAAGGUCAUUGAUAAUAACUGAUGGCAGAGAAUCCACCACCAAGUUGUCAUCGCAAUGCAAUUGCAGAUCUGGAGUCUGGACAAGACUAGCUUUGAGGUAUUCCUCAGCAUGCUUGAAAAUUGUUAAAAUAACAUUUUCAUUCUCCUUCUUAAGCGCCUCUAUGCAACCCAUGAACUGUGUCACAAUACUAUUGUUAUCACUAUCAUUAAUUCUUUGUUGUGAUUCAGUGACUAACAAUCCUAGAUCCUCAAUUUCUUGAGGGGAAUCAGCCUCUUGUGCCACAGAUGCAAUAGCCUGGGGGGAAUCCACUUGAGUAACACUAGGACUGGUUCUUGUUCCUUGCGAUUGUGCAUGUGAACCAAAGUCAAUGACUACAUGAUCAUGAUCUCGGUCUUGGAGUCCAUGAUGAUACCCACUUCCUGGAGCAACCAAAGAGGAACGAAGAAUGAUGAGGGAAUAACUGAAACUCCCUCCAACAAUGACUAACCAUAACUUUAUUUUCAUGAGUUGUAAUAUUAGGAGUCCACUGAAAAAGACUAAGAGAUCAACCUCAAAACCAAAAUGACUCAAUCUUGAUAAAGCCAAAGACAUGAUAGCAAAUGCAGCACAUGAAGCAAGGCUAUAUGCGUCUGGUUUCCCUUUCACUACUUUAUCGAAGAAAAAAGAGUACACAGAAGUGAUCAUCAAAAUAAAAAAGGCCAUGUGAGCUUCCACCCGAGGAGAGGUGGAGCACUCCCAAACAUUUGCAAACAAGACAGUAAGGCAGAUAAUGAAAAUAAAACCAAUGUAAAGUAAUAUCUUCCACCAUGUCCACUUUCCAAAUAGAUUAUUGAAAGAAGAGCUGAAAGCGUAACAGAGGAGUCCAACAACAGAUGAAAAGAAACACACAAAUCUCCAUACCUUUGACUUCUGCAGCCAACUCUGAAUAUUGAUCAUGAUCAACAUGAAGACCAUACUCUUUCUCAAGCUAGCAAAGUUUGUAUUCUGGAAAAUAGAAGCUGAUAGCCACCACGAGUUUUGACUUGGGAUAAGAUAAACCCUUCAUCUUUUCAUAGAAAUUUCAAGGAAAGGGAAUGGGAAUGGAGAGCUUCACUUCUAUUAAAAUUUGUGUGGGUCCGGAGGGUGUUAGAAUAGAAAUUUCAAGGAAAGGGAAUGGAAUCUGAAAGCUACUACAUUUCUAUUAAAAUAGUGAAUUAUAAUUUUAAAAAAUUUAUAAUUGAUGCACACGCAAAAGAAAAGUGAUCUGACUAAUAAAAGUAUAGUGACGGUUGACUUUUUUCAGUGCUUUGCAUGAUGAGGACGAAUUGAAUAUGAGUAAAGAUGAACCGGUCGUCAGGUCUACCUCCAUAAUUUGACCAGUUCAAUCCUAAGUUGCUGAUGUCAUUAGGUGCUAGCUAUGUUGCUGAUAUCAUGAGGUUUAAAUACAUUUGCAAUUGGCUAAAUUUUACUCUAUUUUUUUCAGUUUAAUUCCUUAUGUUUUGAAAGGUUGAAUUGUGUUUCUUAAAGUCUUUUCACAAAUAUUUUAUAAAGACACAAUGAAGGAAGACAGACAAAGCAACUCACAAAUUUGAACACUUUCAGCAACUCACAAACCAAAGGUAUCGUCCUAUGGAUGAAAUAUAGUUUUGUAAAUCUUGUUUUGAAAAAUUUGGUAAACACUGCAGAGUUAGCUGCAAACAGGUUGAAUCCAAGAUCGAGAUUAAUUGUUUUGUAAAAUUGGAUAAUGUGAUCGAAGACAAUCUUCAGGAUUAUCCUAAAAAGUUUGAGUUGUUGAAAAGUGAUAAUAAAAAAUUGUACAAAAUUAAUGACAUGUAAAAGAGAGCAUUAAGAACUUGCCGAAAGUAAUAAACAAAAGGUAAAAAUGAAAAAUUGGUUCCCCACUUUAUCUCCAGUAUCGGAUUUGGUCUCCCAGUUUUUUAGUUCACGAAUUUUGUCCUCCUAUGUUGUAAAAUCUUAUCAUGUUGGUCCCACAGGACACAAUUGGACGUUGACCGUUAGGCAGUGACGUUGACUGUCACGUGUCAAUGUCUGAUAGACACGUAAAAAGGUUUGCAAUUUUUUACCUUAUGUGUUUUUUACCCCAACCCUAAAGCUUGGUUUUUGGAACCGCUAUCCCAUAAAUCGCAAACCCUUGCCUGAAGGUUUCACCGUUUGUGUUUGUUAGUGGUUGUGGUAUGCGUGAAAAAUCGCUGUUGAACGUCGUAGGAACAUGGAAGUGACUUUUGUUUUCAAGUAAGUUAUGUUAUUUGUGGGGUUUGUUUGUUGAUGUGGUCCAGAGGGUGGUUUUGUGUAUUUGUGUGGUUGUUGUGGGUGGAUAGUUUUGUCUAUUUGUGUGGGGUUCGUUGGUGGUGGUUGUGUACGAAUAGUUUUGUCUAUUUUUGUUGAGGUUUUGGGGUCCACGAGGUCUUUAGUAGUUUUUUUUGUUGUGUUGGUCUUUUAUGUGUUCGUUGGUGGUGUGGUCCCGAUUUUGUGUUUGACGGGGUUUGUGCUUUAAUUUCUUUUUGUUGUGGUGGUCCCUUAUGUGUUGAGCUGGAAACAUGAAUACUGGUUUUUUUUUUUUGUGGUGGUGGUCCUGAUUUUGGCUUUUGUUUUCGUUUUGUUUUGAAAACCUUUGGUGAUGGGUGUUGUUUUGAUUAAUUUUUUGUGCUUUGUUGUCGUUCGUGUUUUUUGCAGGCCAAUCGAAGAACAAACAGUGAGGUUAAAGAUUCACCAUGGAGGGAUGUUUAUUUAUAAGCCAUCUAUGACACCUUCUACCCCAUACACAUAUGUACUAAUAAAAUGAAAAGAAAUCAUAAUUAAUUAAAAGUUUUUAAAACACAUUUAAAUAAAAUCCUUUCAACAUGGUAAAAGGCUCACAUUCACUUUCUUUUACGUCAUAUUCAAAGUUGUCCAAAUAAAUAAUAAAGUCAUCUCUGCUCAAACAAGACUACCUAAGACUUCAUACAAUUAAUAAGAAACCUAUAUCCCAAUGUCACAUCCUAUUAGAGCAUUGUGUCCCGACGUCCUUCAACACAAGGUUCCUUAAAGCAAUUCACCUAGUCAUCCUCAUCUAACUAAAAUGCAUAACAAAACUCUUAGCACGAAACAUGAUUCCCAAGGGUCAAUAGCAACCUUAUGAUACACCCCAUAAUCCAACUUAACUGGAAACACACUAAACACUAAUCAUUGAAACCACUACAAGAGCUAACUCAGGGUGGGAGAUCCUGUCCAUGCAUCCCACGAACACACAAAGGCAUUGAUCUUGUCAAGACAUGACUAGGUACACGUAAAAGGCCAUGAAAGAUACUAAGGUAGUCAUUGGAGCAUCCUCAGAUUUUUCCCAUAUUAAGGUAAGGAGAACUAAGAUUUAUCUCGCUAAUCAUACAACUAUUAUCAAUAAUCUUCUAGGUCACCUACCUUACGCAAGAACACUCACUCUCGAACCCUUCCAUGCUUAACAAUUAAUGCCUUACUAAAUACCUUACACUCUUCUUAAGGUUUCACACUAAAUCUCUUAACUAUUCUUCACAACUUUUUCAACUACUAUAUAUUCCUAAACAACUCUUUACAAGUUAUCUCCUAGGAACUACGGUUACAAUUUUCUAUGGGUACUACACUUAUAAGAUUCUCAAUCUCGCACUUAGGUGGUAACUAAGCACAUCCUCAAGGAACACAUGUACAUGACUUACUAAGUUGGCUUUCAUCUAUAGGUAACAAGGAUAAUGCCCACUCAAGUAUUUUCCUCUCAAAACACCUUAACAUGAUUAACAAGAGCGAAGUCUCUCUCUAUUUGUAACAGAAGUAAUAACAUGACAGAUUAUCAAGCGGUUUGACAAGACAUGAUUGGAAGAUGAGCAACCAAUAACAAAAUAAACACUUAAUUAAUUAGGAGGCAAUAAUUUUAAAUCAAGAAUGAUCACUUAUUCAUAAUUAACAACAAAUAUUCUGAAAGAAUUAUAUAAACGAAAACAUGAACACAAUGUACACCCAUGUGGAGAUGUUAACAAUCAUUUGAUUGUGAUAGAAACAUCAAUAAUAAAAAACUAUUUGACGUAGGCUUGCAACACAAAGAAUGAGUUAUACUAUGGCUUGCAAGUAUAAUCGAGUUACUUGACUUCAACACGUAACACAAGAAAAUGGGUUGCACUAGAACUCGAAGGUAUAGUCAAAAUAGUAUUCCUUAUGAAAUAUAUCCCGAUAUGGGUCAUCGAACUAUAAGGUAUUAGCAUCGCUAAGAACAAGAAAUCACAAACAACCAUAUCAUUUAUACAAUUAAGGGAGAACACCUUACUACAAACAUACAUAGAAUUAUAAGGUUUCUAUAACAAGCAUAUAGCAUACAUAUAAGGAGUAAGAAUUAAAAAGUCAUUAGGAUGUAUUUAACGAAUCACAAGUUUCAACAAUCACGUUUAUGAUCACUCACUAAGAAAAGAAAGGAUUAGCCAACACAUGUUAACACAUUGAUUAAACACACUCAUUCACAACACACCUGCAAGUUCAAGGUUCUUGACGACAUUAAUACACACAUCAAGUUUUCAAGAUAACUUAUAUCACUUAAUGGCUUGCCAUGACAUCCUACUGCACUUCACAAAUUAUAGAGAUGGCCAGUCUCAUAACUCAUGACUCAACAGUGGAUUUAUGGUAUAACAGACAUUAAGGAUGCAAUGCACAUCACAAGCAUCAUUCAGUCUCAUUUAAUCAUGCAAGGAAAAAAACAGUUAAUAAUUCAAGCAUGCUCAACAAAAAUAUUCAUAAGUAAUCACAAAGAGCACACACCAGCAUAUGGUAAACACAUAACACACUAGCUGAAAGGUUCGACCUGCUCUGAUACCACUAAAUGUGACACCCUCUACCCCAUACAUAUAUGUACUAAUAAUAANNNNNNNNNNNNNNNNNNNNNNNNNNNNNNNNNNNNNNNNNNNNNNNNNNNNNNNNNNNNNNNNNNNNNNNNNNNNNNNNNNNNNNNNNNNNNNNNNNNNUACAAGACCGCCUAAUUCAUACAAUUAAUAUAGGAACCUAUACCCCAAUGUCACAUCCUAUCAGAGCAUUGUGUCCCGACGUCCUUCAACACAAGGUUCCUUAAAACAAUUCACCUAGUCAUCUGCUCCCCCGAACACGAUGUUCAAGAUCAUCACAUGAUUCAAACACAAACAACACAUAGGGAGUGAGUUAUCACAUUCAUAACUAAUAGAGAAACAAGACAACUAGAUAUACAUAUCAUAUAAAUGAGAUACAACUUACUUAAACAUAACUCACAUAAUUCCACCACUUUGUCAUUUAAAAUUCACUUUUCAAUCAUCAAUCACAUUACACAUGAAUCACACACUCCGAUCGAGACAUAAUAACACAUCAAUUUCAUAAUAGACAAUUAGUAAGCGUAUGCAAUAGUUAUGCUAAGACUCAAGCCUAUAUGCAAUGUGGUACCAUGUCAGUGAAAAACCUCCCUGGGACGCUUAGGAGUACAUAACAAGACACAUCAUAACAUGGAUAUCUUAAGUUACUCUCACUAAGUAAAAUCAUAGGGAGAUCAGUAAGGGUUACACUGUUUUGCGAGAAUGCUCCAACCAUGUGGGAUCGGCACAGACUUAAAGGAGCACUCAAACUGGGUGUAUUUACCCCCAAGGCCUACACUCCGAAGAGUCCGUCAGGGUCUCUCCCUCCUGAUUCAGGUCCAACCCCUAAAAUAAUUUUUUACAUGCAGACAGUGCUCAUGAACUAUACAAUACCCACGACCUAACACUUGCGUUUUAAACACGUUUAACACAUUGCGCUACAAUUUAACACUGGUUCCUAAAUAAGAAACCUACACUUUCUCUUUAACACUGGUUCCUAAAUAGGAAACCUACACUUUUUCUUUAACACUGCGCAUUAACACUUUUCUCAAGAUAACACUGGUCGUGUUAUUGUAUAAUUCACAGCUCACAACACAAGUAAUGUCACAUCAAGUGUUAACCACACACUUAUUCACAACUAAAACUUGUUCACAAUUUCACAUCUCAUAAUGUCACAAUCCAUCAUCAUAUGUUUACAUGUAUAUCACAGAUUAACACAUAUUCAACUUUGCACUUAUACUCAAUCUCGAUAACAAUAUUAUAAUUUCAAAGCAAUAUGUUAUUCCACAAUUCAUGACAAAUUUAAUUUAUAGACACUGCUCAUGAAUUAUACAAUACCCACGACCUCAUACUCGUGUUUUAAACACGUUUAACACAUUGCGCUACUAUUUAACACUGGUUCAUAAAUAGGAAAUCUAUACUUUCUCUUUAAUACUAUACAUAAGCAUUUUCUCAACAUCAACACUGGUCGGAUUAUUGUAUAAUUCACAGCUUACAACAUAAUUAUUGUCACAUAAGUAUUAAACACAAACACACUUAUUCACAACCAAAUAUCAUGCCCACAAUAAUUUGUAUAAAAUAAGUCAUUGAAUAAUAUAGUUUAGAAUAUAAUUCACGUUAAUAAAAAGAGUUCAAUUUUUUUAAGGGUUCACACUCAACACAAGAACGCAUCAAUUUCACAGCAAUUUCUCAUUGGGACAUCAACUGGUUCAUCAAACAUAUAUAAUUCACAGUUAUAAUUAUAAUUAUAAAAUAAAAAAUUACGGAAACACUCCAAAAUCCAUUCCAAUUGAUACUCUAAGGAUCCCUACACAUGUUCUCGCUAAUCCCCAUUACCUCGAUGUAGUCACUCAAGCGUUCUCCAUUAUCAAUUGUGGCAUUUUUGGUGCUCUCUAGAGCUCCUCCUCUGGUUGCUCUGUUAGGGUUUCUAAACGUUAGAGAGAAGGAGAAGGGAUUGAAGCCUCAAUUCCAUUGUCCUACGUGCGAUGCAACUUUCUCCGUUCACAAACAUUCUUUUGUAAAUCUCAAUGGUGAAGGUGUUCAGAAUUAAAUUUCGAACCACAUAUCAAAAUUUCACAACAAUCCAACAGUUAACAAACAUAAUGGUAGUUUUACCGAGACAAUUAUGAGUUUCUGCAGGAAAGAAAAAGUUACAAUGUGAAGGGUAUUUCUAUCAGCUCCGACAAUUUUUCGUAAUUCCCAACGGUGAGAAGGCUCGGAAUUGAGUUAAGAACCUGGUGCUUAAAUUUUACGACGAUCCAACGGUAAAUGAGUCCGAGAUCAUUGUUUUUUUGAGAUAGGUUUGGUGGUAUACAGAAAAAAGAGAGAGUUUUGGGAGAAGGAGAGGGAAAAACGAAAUUGAGAGUAAGAGAAGGCAUUGGUGUGAAAACUAACCUAAUACGUUUCUAUUUAUAGCUAGGGUACUUAGAACUUAUCAUUUACUCUAUUUAUUUAUUUUUAUUAUUUUAUAAAAAAAAUUCUAUUUUAUUCCCUAUCAAAUGAAUAAAUAAAAUACUUUUUUCUCUCAAAUCAUUAUUUUAAUUAAUAAAAUUAUUUCUCCUUAUUUAUUUAAUUACAAAAGCCUCAUCAUUUUAAAACUCUAUUUAUUUUAAAUGAAAAACCUUUUUAAUUUAAUUUACGAAAAAUGGGAUGUUACACCAUCUACUGUGUAUGUCAAUGGUGAGAUCGUUGAAGAAGAAUGGGGUUGGGAUGUGGAUACUAUGUCAUAUAUUGACUUGACGAAGGUGAUUAAGUCUAUCGGGUAUAAAGCAUUCAAGUGCUUAUGGUACAUGUACCCCUGAAAAGCACUUUGCAGAGGGUUGAAUCCACUUAAUUGUGACUCAGAUAUUUUGCAAUUGGCUGAAGAUGUUUCUGUGUUUGAUGUGGUUGAAGUGUAUGUGGAAGAGGGGGUGUUUGACAAAUUUGAAAAAAAGUUGAAUGAUUUUAAGGGNNNNNNNNNNNNNNNNNNNNNNNNNNNNNNNNNNNNNNNNNNNNNNNNNNNNNNNNNNNNNNNNNNNNNNNNNNNNNNNNNNNNNNNNNNNNNNNNNNNNGUUAAGGUGGAGGCUGAGGUUCAGCUUGAUGAGAAAAGUUUGGUGGAGUUGAGAUGCAAGUGAAGAUGAGCUGUGUGUAGGUGAGAUGGAGGUUGUUGUUGAGGGUGUGGAUGAUGAUGAUGUUGGGGCUAAGGCAGAUGAUGAUGAUGUGGGGGCUGAAGAAACUGAUGAUGAUGAUGUUGGGGCUGAUGAAGAUGAUAAUGAUAGUAGCGACUGUAGUGAUGUUUCAGAUAGUGACUUUGAAGAAAGCUCGGAUUGGACAACAUGGUUGGACUCUCAAACAUUUAGUCAAAGUACUAACCCCACAUUUGAUACUAAUAAAGUAGACUUAACAAAUUGUGAUUUUGCUGAUGAAGGUGGAUAUUCUGAUGAGUUGGAUACUCCACCUGGAAGUGAAGAUGAAGGUCCCCCAAAAGUUAGAUUUUCUCGUUUUAAGGUGCCUGAAAAUGAUGAAGAUGUCAAGUUUGAGAUUGGGUUAUGCACUCAUUAAGUUUUUAGCAUUUGCUGUCAUUAAAGUCUGAACAAUAUUAACACUACCAAAUACUUAAAUAAGCAAGUAGGUAUAGUGAUAAAAGAGUUUAUUUCUUACUUUAAUCAUAAGGAUCAUGAUUCUUACUUUAAUUGUUAAAAUCACCUCUAGACUAAGAUAAUGUAUUUUAAGAUAUAAGUAAAAUAGAAAGAUGGAUUUAGUGUAAUAAGCAAAAUAGAAAACAAAUUUUGCAAUGAAGCCUUUUAUAUAAAGUCAGUGCAUAAAUUAUUUUUCACUUUUUAUAUUUACAAUAUCAUUUUAAUAUAAUUAAUACAUACAUAAUUUUCAUAUAUUAUAUUUACAAUAUCAUUAUAUUAUUUUUAAGUGAUGUAUAAAGUUUUCAAUUAUUUUAUUUUUAUACCUGCGCAUUGCCCUGGAUCACAAUCUAGUUUAUAAUUUACAACAAACCAAUGCAUGAAGAUCGCAAAACUUAAAUUUUAGUAUUCAAGUAGAAACUUACAUAGUUAACCCGAAGAAAAUCUGGGUGGAUUACUAAAUUUUAAGCUAAUGACAAGAUUAUUUUACGGGUACCAUAUAUUUGAUAAUGAUAAUAUUGAGAAUUUUAAAAAUACUGCCUAAUAAGCAAUAUUAACAUAUCUAUAUGAUUUAGGGGUUGCUCUUAUUCAUUACAGAGGUAGUGACAAUGAAAAAAAGAAUUGAAGAAGAGUAUAAUCUUUUAACAUACGGAAUUUUGGAAAACCAUCAAUCUAUAUUGACCAAAGUAAAAGUCCCUGUUUAUCAUAAAAUGAAAAAAGUUGAGGAAGAAAGAAAUUUGAGGGAUUAAGAAUUAUUGAUAGAGUUCAAAAGCCAGCAGAGUUGAAUUCAGAGACGCUAACAUGUCAACUCCACUGCUUUAGUUUCAGAUUUUAUAAAAUUAACGUAUACAACAAGUAUUUGAAGACCUCAAUUUGAUAAACAGCUAGAAAUUGAUGAAUUGAACAUCACCAAAUUUUAAAUUUUAAACUCUUCCCAAUAAAAUAUAAAAUUUAACACCCUCCAGAGAAAUCAUUUUGGCACGGGAGUUAUUCAAAGCUGAAGCAGAAUGGUUAACAUCGGAGGCGUACCAAAUUGUUCUAAAACUACUCUAUUUUUGUAAAUUGUUCUUUAUUAUUAUUACUUUCAUAGAAAAAAGUCAUAUAAUUGCAAUAUUUAUGGCAUCCUUAUUGACUGGAAAUUGAUUUUUUAUUUUGCUCCUCUUAACUAGGAAAUUUUUUCAGAUUUGUCAUUGCCAAAGUUUAAAAUGAUACCACUUCAAGUCUGCCGGUGCUUAACAACAACAAAUUGCUUAAAAUCAGUUCGUAGGAAUUUUUCACUGAGCCCUCAUGAUAUGUUGUUGGUUUUGAUGGUUGCAUAUUUGUUCUAAUGUCUCCUUUUUCAGACAAUGAAAGCAUGCACAUAAAAUCAGGAAUGUUAAGCUUAAAUUUCAAUAAUGCAUUUGGAUUAAUGGCACAGAUUAAAUAGGCCACUUGAACGGUAAUGGUACAACUCUUGAUGUGCUACCUUUACUCGGAAAGACACCUAUGUUAACCCUUACUACCAAAUAACAGUCGUACAGGAAAUUGCUAUAUAUACUGGAUUUAGUGCGUGCAUGCACCAUUUGUACAACAUGUGGCAAAGGCAAUACAUGAACAAUCACCAUGAUGAUUAUCGUUCUUGGAUUUAACCAAUCUUAAACAUGGAAACAAAUUAAAGAGGAAUCCUUACACAGUUGGGAUUUUGUGUUGAGACAUACAGUGGAAUAAAUGUACAACAAUGGCACAAAUCCUUUGCAACUAUGUUUGCAAUGAAUGAUGAUGAUAUUUUUGUAUUCUAAAUCAAUGCAAACUUGUGUCUCCUUUCCUUCUCUUCUGGCAUCAGAUUCAUCUACUCUCUUACAAGAAAUAAAUUGUUGAGUCUAUCUUGAAUGUCAAACAUUCCAUACUCAAUGUGCUCAUAAGCUUGGUUACCAAUAAAAUCCUGCAACCUCCCAAUGAAGUUUCCAUAUGCUGGCAACAAGAUCUUUUCUAUGGAUUGUAUAAUUUUUCUCCUUAGCUCCUUAGUGAAGACAAACCACGUACACUGAAUGUUGCAUAUAUCGUCGAAGUGUUCGUUGAAGGAAAGAAGCUUGUUUUUCAUUAACUGUGCCGCAACAUUAGGCUCUGACUCAUUGAUGUCCAGCUUCAAAAUAUCCAAGAUCUUAUUCCAUGAGCUUCUCAGAUAGAGUUGAAGGUUUUCUUUGAUACUAGUUGUGUUUUUUCGAAUCCAGUCAUUUCCAAGAAUAUGUCUCAAUCCACCCCGCAUUGCCCUUUGCCGUAUGUAGCUUCGAUUGUUGAUGAUGAAAACGUAACCCAAAAUAGGAUCAUGGUAAUUUUGGGAGUUGGCUUCCAAACUGCUGUCUAACAGGUUUGUUAUCAUGGCUAUGUUAUUCAGUGGAAACUUUCCUUCCAAACUGCUGUCUAACAGGUCUGUUAACUGCACAUCUAUAAUCCCAGCGUAGUCCAGCACAUCAAGGGUAAUCUGAUGAACCCUGCCGCCGGGAACAAUGGCUUUCUCCUUAACACCGUAAGUAAGACUUAACAAUUCCCCGAACUUACGUCCAUGUAUUGUUUCGGGCAAUCCAGGAUAACUGUCCAAACUCUUCCGAAACCCGAACCUAUGUAUUCCCGGUAAUGCAGGGUACUUAUCCUCAAAGGGAAUGGACCCCUCAAAGACGCAUUCACAUAGUCUUCUUUCAUUGGGUAAUAAUAUCCUAUCAGCUACGCACAAAGCUUUUAUAUAAAACCGGGCAAUUUUGAGCUUUAUCAACCAUGAUAGCAUCUCACCCAGAAACUCCCUCCGCCAAGUAAUGUACACGUCAAUGCAUUCCUCCUUUAACCCUGCUGUCACCAUCAGCCUUACACAUUCACGAAGGUCAUUGAUAAUAACUGAUGGCAGAGAAUCCACCACCAAGUUGUCAUCGCAAUGCAAUUGCAGCACUGGAGUCUGGACAAGACUAGCUUUGAGGUAUUCCUCAGCAUGCUUGAAAAUUGUGAAAAUAACUUUCUCUUUCUCCUUCUUAAGCGCCUCUAUGCAACCCAUGAACUGUGUCACAAUACUAUUGUUAUCACUAUCAUUAUUUCUUUGUUGCGAUUCAGUGACUUGGAAUCCUAGAUCUUCAAUUUCUGGAGGGGAAUCAGUCUCUUGUGCCAUGAUAACAAUAGCUUGGGACGUAUCUACUUGAGUAGUGCUAGAACUGGUUCUGGUUCCCUGUGAUUCUGAAUGUGAACCAAAUUCAAUGACUACAUGAUGAUGAUUUUGAUCUUGGAGUCCAUGAUACCCACUUCUCGCAGCAACCAAAGAGGAACGAAGAAUGACGAGGGAAUAACUGAAACUUCCUCCAACAAUGACUAACCAUAACUUUAUUUUCAUGAGUUGUAUUGUUAGGACUCCACUGAAAAAGUGUAAGAGAUCAACCUCAAAACCAAAAUGACUCAAUCUUGAUAAAGCCAAAGACAUGAUUGCAAAUGCAGCACAUGAAACAAGGCUAUAUGCGUCUGGUUUCCCUUUCACUUCUUUAUCGAAGAAAAAAGCAUACACAGAAGUGAUCAUCAAAAUAAAAAAGGCCAUGUGAGCUUCCACCCGAGGAGAGGUGGAGCACUCCCAAACCUUUGCAAACAAGACAGUAAGGCAGAUAAUGAAACUAAAACCAAUGUAAAGUAAUAUCUUCCACCAUGUCCACUUUCCAAAUAGAUUAUUGAAAGAAGAGCUGAAAGCGUAACAGAGCAGUCCAACAACAGAUGAAAAGAAACACACAAAUCUCCAUACCUUUCGCUUCUGCAGCCAACUCUGAAUAUUGAUCAUGAUCAACAUGAAGACCAUGCCUCUUUCUCAAGCUAGCAAAGUUUGUAUUCUGGAAAAUAGAAGCUGAUAGCCACCACCAGUUUUGACUUGGGAUAAGAUAAACCCUUCAUCUUUUCAUAGAAAUUUCAAGGAAAGGGAAUGGAAAGUGAAAGCUACUAAGUUUCUAUUAAAAUAGUGAAUUAUAAUUUUCAAAAAAUUUAUAAUUGAUGCACCAGCGCGAAAGAAAAGUGGUCUCACUAAUAAAAGUAUAGUGACGGUUGACUUCUGCAGUGCUUUGCAUGAUGAGGACCAAUUAAUACGUGUAACAUCCAAUUUUUCAUUUUUCAUGAAAUAAAUUAAAAUAAAUAGAAUUUUAAAAAAAUAAUAAGUUUUUCGUAAUUAAAAAAAUAAGAGAAAUAUUUUAAUUAAUUAAAAUAAUAAUUUUAAGGUAACUAAAAUAAAUAUAUGCUUUUAGAAAAAAAUAUAUUUUUAUUUAUUCAUUUGAGAGAGACUAAAAUAGAUUUUCUUCAUAUUAAAUGAUAAAAUAAAAAAAAAAUAAAGUAAAUAUUCCCAGAAUAUACUAGUUAUAAAUAGAGGCUUAAUAAGUCACCUUUUAUGUUUAUGACAUGUCUUCGCGCACUCUCUUCUUCUCAAAUUUGUUUUUCCUCCUUCCUUUCUCAAACCCCCCCCCCCCCCCUUUUUUUUACUUACACUCAAACUUGUCUGAGUAAAAUGACAACGAUCCCAGAAUCGCUAACCAUUGGAUCCUCCUGAAAUUUGAACGUGUGGUUCAGAACUUAUUUUCGCACAUAUCCACUGUUGGGAUUUUUGAGAUAAUAUCUAUGGUGGAAGAAAUAUCCCUUGCACCGAGCUUUCUCUUUUCCUGCAGACACCCAAAACCUGUCCUAGUAAAAUUAUGAUCUUGGACUCAUCAAUCGUUGGAUCGUUGUAGAAUUUGAACACCACCUUUGGAACACAUUUUCACCAUUGUGAUUUGCGAAUUAAUGAUUUUGCAGAGAUAAAUUAGUCUCACACGUUGACAGUAAAAUAGAGGCUACAAUCUCUUCCCCUUCUCUCUAACACUUGAAAACUCUAACAAAGCAAACAUGAGAAAAGUUUGAGGAAUCUUAGGAAACAACUAGAGAUGUCGCUAUCACUGUGGAACUACACACGUGAACCCGCUUAGAGGUAAUGGAUGAGUUUAUCACAAUAGGGGUUAGAAUGAACAUGUGUAGAGAUCUUUAGGGGAUCAAAUUGAGGUUUAUUUUGGGAUGUUUAUUGUAUUAUAAUUCUUCAUGUAUAAUUAUAAUUGCCAGGAUUUUAUAUUGGAAUCAUGAAAUUGGGUGUAUAUGAUAAUUUGAAUAUGUGAUGAAUUAUGAGAUAACAUGUUGCAUUGAGAUCAUAAAAUUGUUAUUGAGAUUGGGUAUAAGUGCAAAGUUGAACAUGAUGUGAUGGUGGAUUAUGACAUUAUGAGAUGUUAAAUUGUAGAUAUGAGAUUUGACUUUGAAUAAGUGUAUGAUUAAUACUUGAUGAUACAAUACUUGUGUUGUGAGCUGUGAAUUAUACAAUAACUCGAUUGGUGUUUACCUUGAGAAAAGUGAUUAUGCGCAGUGUUAAAGGGAAAGUGUAGGAUUCCUAGUUAGGAACCUAAAGUGUUAAAUUUUAACGCAAUGUGUUAAACAUGUUUGAAACACGAGUGUGAGGUCGUGGUUAUUGUAUAAUUCAUUAGCAGUGUUUGGGUGUAAAAAUUAUUUUAGGGGUUGGACCUGAAUCAGGAAGGUGAGGCCCUAACAGAUUCUUUGAAGUCUAGGCCAUAGGGGUAAAGACACUCGGUUUGAGUGUUCCUUUAAGUCUAUGUUGAUCCCAUAUAGUUGGAAUAUUCUCACAAAAUAUAGUAACAUUGACUGGUCACCUUAUGAUUUCUUAUGAUUUUACUUAGUGAGAGUCACCUAACAUACCCAUUGUAUGGUGUGUCUUGUUAUGCACUCCUAAGCGCCCCAGUGUGGUUUUUCACUAACAUGGUACCGCAUUACAUAUAGCUUGAGUCUUAGUAUAAUUGUUCCAUAACAUCGGCUAAUUUUUUAUUAUGAAAUUGAUGAGUGUUCUUAUGUCUUAAUCCGAGUGUGUGAUUCAUGCGUAAUGUGAUUGAUGAUUGAAAAAUGAAUUUUAAAUGAUAAAAUGCUGAAAUGACGUGGAUUGUAUUAAGUUGAGCUAUGUUAUAAUUACUUUCAUGAUUUAUUUUGAUUACGUCUUUGUUUAUUUGUAUUUUUUUUAGAAAUGUGAAAACUCACUUCUUGUGUGCUAUUUGUGUUUGGAUCCUGUAAUGAUCUCGAACCUUGUGUUCGUGGGAGUAGAUGACUUUAAAGAACCACGUGCUAGAGGAUGCUGGGACACAAUGAUAUGAUAGAAUGUGACAUUGGGGAUGAGUUUUAUUUUAAUUGCAUGAUGUAAUUUAAUCACAAAAUAUACAUAUACAUAGUAGUUAUCAAGGCGCGACAUAUUAAAAUUAUUUUGAAAAUAAUUGAGGAGUCGUGUGUUUUGUAUAGUUCAUAGAUAGAGUAUGUGUGUUAAAAUAUUUUUUGGGUUGGAUUAGAAUAAGGAGAGAGAGGCCCUAACAGCCUCUUCAGAAUCUAGGGCUUGGGGAUAAAUACACCCGGUUUGAGUGUUCCUUUAAGCCAGUGUCAAUCCCACAUGGUUAGAGCAUUCUCGCAAAACAACAUGAUCCUGACUGGUCUCCCUAUGAUUUUACCUAGUGAGAAUGACCUGACUUACCAUGUGUAGUUUGUCUUGUCAUGUACUCCUAAGCGUCCGAUGAGGUUUUUCACUGACAUGGUACCACAUUGCAUAUAGGAUUGAGUCUUAGUAUAUCUAUUGCAUAACGCCUAUGUAAUUAUUAUAGCAAACAACAAACAUAAUAUAUGAUUAAAAAAAUACUAAAAUUUUGGUGUACAAAAAAAUAAUAUAUACAAUACUAAUAAUGAUCACUAUUAUUAGCUUCAUCAAUAAAAUCAUUUUCUUCAUCUUUUGCUAAAUCAAUAAUUUCAUCAUCACUUUCUUCUUCUUUGCGGUCAACAACUUCUGAAGGUAUAACUGGUUUUCCAUCAACUAUGGAACGGGCUAAAUCAUUCCUAUCCCAAGACAAUCCUUGAUCAUUAUGUAGGACAUUAGAUGUAAAGGGAAUCGAGCCAAUAUCAUCAUUUUCUUGACUAACCUCAAGUGUAGUUUUCUUAGGCACAUCAUACAAGUCUUAAGGCUUUGUUUUCUGAACAACUAACCAAUUAGGAUCUUUGGUACCUUUAACAUAAUAUACUUGUUGAGACUGAUUGGUCAAGAAAUAUGGCUCAUUAGUUCUUAAUUUAUGACUACUAUUAAUAAGAAAGAAUCCAUAUUUGUCAUUAGGAUACAUCUAAAGAUAUCUCAUUGGCCUAACAAUCCUUACCUCAUCUACCAAGUGAAUGGACAGAUGGAUCAUUAUGUCAAAAAAAGAAGGAGGAAAUAUUUUCUCUAACUUGCAUAAGGUUAGAACUAUUGUUCUUUGUAGCAAGUCUAAGUUCUCCAAACUCAAUGUCUAUACAAUUCCCCAAACUUACGUCCAUGUAUUGUUUCGGGCAAUCCAGGAUAACUAUCCAAACUAUUCCGAAACCCAAACCUAUGUAUUCCUGGUAUUGCAGGGUACUUAUCCUCAAGGGGAAUGGACCCUUCAAAGAUGCAUUCACAGAGUCUUCUUUCAUUGGGUAAAAUAUCCUAUCAGCUACGCACAAAGCUUUUAUAUAAAACUGGGUGUUGUCAAUUUUGAGCUCUAUCAACCAUGAUAGUAUCUCACACAGAAACUCCCUCCGCCAAGUAAUGUACAUGUCAAUGCAUUCCUCCUUUAACCCUGCUAUCACCAUCACCCUUACAUAUUCACGAAGGUCAUUGAUAAUAGCUGAUGUUAGAGAAUCCACCACCAAGUUGUCAUAGCAAUGCAAUUGCAGCACUGGAGUUUGGACAAGACUAGCUUUGAGGUAUUCCUCAUCAUGCUUGAAAAUUGUCAAAACAACUUUCUGAUUAUCCUUCUUAAGCGCCUCUAUGCAACCCAUGAACUGUUUCACAAUACUAUUGUUAUCACUAUCAUUAUUUCUUUGUUGUGAUUCAGUGACUUUGAAUCCUAGAUCCUCAAUUUCUGGAGAGGAAAUAGCUUCCUGUGCCAUGAUAACAAUAGCUUGGGACGUAUCUACUUGAGUAGUGCUAGAACUGGUUCUAGUUCCUUGUGAUUCUGAAUGUGAACCAAAUUCAAUGACUACAUGAUGAUGAUUUUGAUCUUGGAGUCCAUGAUACCCACUUCUCGCAGCAACCAAAGAGGAACGAAGAAUGACGAGGGAAUAACUGAAACUCCCUCCAACAAUGACUAACCAUAACUUUAUUUUCAUGAGUUGUAUUGUUAGGACUCCACUGAAAAGUGUAAAAGAUCAACCUCAAAACCGAAAUGACUCAAUCUUGAUAAAGCCAAAGACAUGAUAGCAAAUGCAGCACAUGAAACAAGGCUAUAUGCAUCUGGUUUCCCUUUCACUUCUUUAUCGAAGAAAAAAGCAUACACAGAAGUGAUCAUCAAAAUAAAAAAGGCCAUGUGAGCUUCCGCCCGAGGAGAGGUGGAGCACUCCCAAACCUUUGCAAACAAGACAGUAAGGCAGAUAAUGAAACUAAAACCAAUGUAAAGUAAUAUCUUCCACCAUGUCCACUUUCCAAAUAGAUUAUUGAAAGAAGAGCUGAAAGUGUAACAGAGCAGUCCAACAACAGAUGAAAAGAAACACACAAAUCUCCAUACCUUUGGCAUCUGCAGCCAACUCUGACUAUUGAUCAUGAUCAACAUGAAGACCAUGCUCUUUCUCAAGCUAGCAAAGUUUGUAUUCUAGAAAAUAGAAGCUGAUAGCCACUACUAGUUUUGACUUGGGAAAAAAUAAACCCUUCAUCUUUCCAUAGAAAUUUCAAGGAAAGGGAAUGGAAAUUGAAAGCUACUACGUUUCUAUUAAAAUAGUGAAUUAUAAUUUUCAAAAAUUUAUAAUUGAUGCAUACGCAAAAGAAAAGUGAUUUGACUAAUAAAAGUAUAGUGACGGUUGACUUCUUUCAGUGCUUUGCAUGAUGAGGAAGAAUUGAAUAUGAGUAAAGAUGAACCGGUCGUCAGGUCUACCUCCAUAAUUUGACCAGUUCAAUCCUAAGUUGCUGAUGUCACUAGGUGCUAGCUACGCUGCUGAUAUCAUGAGGUUUAAAUACAUUUGCAAUUGGGUAAAUUUUACUCUAUUUUUUUCAGUUUAAUUUCUUAUGUUUUGAAAGGUUGAAUUGUGUUUCUUAAAGUCUUUUCACAAAUAUUUUAUAAAGACGCAAUGAAGGAAGACAAACAAAGCAACUCACAAAUUUGAAGACUUUCAACAACCCAAACCAAAGGUAUCGUCCUAUGGAUGAAGUAUAGUUUUGUAAAUCUUGUUUUGAAAAAUUUGGUAAACACUGCAGAGUUAGCAACUCUGCAAACAGGUUGAAUCCAAGAUCGAGAUUAAUUGUUUUGUAAAAAUGGAUGAUGUGAUCGAAGAGAAUCUUCAGGAUUAUCCUAAAAAGUUUGAGUUGUUGAAAAGUGAUAAUAAAAAAUUGAACAAAAUUAAUGACAAGUAAAAGAGAACAUUAAGAACUUGCAAAAAGUAAUAAACAAAAGACAAAAUUACAAAAUUGGUCUCCCACUUUAUCUCCAGUUUCAGAUUUGGUCCCCCAGUUUUUUAAUUCACGAAUUUUGUCCUCCUAUUUUGUAAAAUCUUGCAAUGUUGGUCCCACAGGUCACAAUUGGACGUUGAUUGUCACGUGUCAACGUCUGAUAGGCACGUAAAAAGGUUUGCGAUUUUACCAUCUGUGUUUUUUACCCCAACCCUAAAGCUUGGUUUUUGGAACCGCUAUCCCAUAAACCGCAAACCUGUGCCUGAAGGUUUCACUGUUCGUGUUUGUUGGUGGUUGUGGUGUGCGUGAAGAAUCGUUGUUGAACGUCGUAGGAACAUGAAAGUGGUUUUCGUUUUCAAGUUAUGUUAUUUGUGGUGUUUGUUUGUUGAUGUGGUCCAGAGAGUGGUUUUGUGUAUUUGUGUGGUGGUUGUGUGUGGUCCCAAUUUUGUGUUUGACGGGGUUUGUGCUUUAAUUUUUUUUUUUUUUUGUGGUGGUCCCUUAUGUGUUGAGUUGGAAACAUGAAUAUUGGUUUUUUUUUUGUGGUGGUGGUCCCGAUUUUGGCUUUUGUUUUUGUUUUGUUCGAAAACCUUUGGUGGUGAGUGUUGUUUUGAUUAAUUUUUUGUGCUUUGUUGUCGUUCGUGUUUUUCACAGGCCAACCGAAGAACAAACAGCGAGGUUAAAUAUUCACCAUGGAGAAAUGUUUAUUUAUAAGUCAUCUGUGAUACCCUCUACCCCAUACAUAUAUAUAUACGAAUAAAAGAAAAAGAAAUCAUAAUUAGUUAAAAGUUUUUAAAACACAUUUAAAUAAAAUCCUUUCAACAGGGUAAAAGACUCACAUUCACUUUCUUUUACAUCAUAUUCAAACUUGUCCAAAUAAAUAAUAAAGUCAUCUCGGCUCAAACUAGGCCGCCUAAGACUUCAUACAAUUAAUAUAGAAACCUAUACCCCAAUGUCACAUCCUAUCAGAGAUUAUGUCCCAAUGUCCUUCAGUACAAGGUUCCUUAAAGCAAUUCAGCUAGUCAUCCUCAUCUAACAAAAAUGCAUAACAAAACUCUUAGCACAAAACAUGAUUCCUAAAGGUCAAUAGAAACCUUAUGAUACACCCCAUAAUCCAACUUAACUGGAAACACACUAAACACUAAUCAUCGAAACCACUAUAAGAGCUAAUUCAGGGUGGGAGAUCCUGUCCAUGCAUCCCAUGAACACACAAAGGCAUUGAUCUUAUCAAGACAUGAUCAGGUACACAUAAAAGGCCACGAAAGAUACUAAGGUAGUCAUUGGAGUAUCCUCAGACUUUUCCUAUAUUAAGGUAAGGAGAACUAAGAUUUAUCUCGCUAAUCAUACAACUAUCAUCAAUAAUCCUCUAAGUCACCUACCUUACGCAAUAACACUCACUCUCGAACCCUUCCAUGCUUAGCAAUUAAUGCCUUACUAAAUACCUUACACUCUUCUUAAGGUUUCACACUAAAUCUCUUAACUAUUCUUCACAACUUUUUCAACUACUAUAUAUUCUUAAACAACUCUUUACCAGUUAUCUCCUCUCGAAACACCUUAACAUGAUUAACAAGAGCGAAGUAUCUCUCUAUUCAUAACAAAAGUAAUAACAUGACAGAUUAUCAAGCAAUUUGACAAGACAUGAUUGGAAGAUGAGCAACCAAUAACAAAAUAAACACUCAAUUAAUUAGGAGGCGACAAUUUUAAAUCAAGAAUGAUCACUUAUUCAUAAUUAACAACAAAUAUUCCGAAAGAAAUAUAUAAACGAAAACAUGAACACAAUGUACACCCAUAUGGAGAUGUUGUAACAUCCUAGAAAUUUCUACCCGGAGUUUUCGGAAACGAUGUAUUUUGAAUGAUUAUAUAUAUAUAAGUAUUAUUCAGUGUAUAUGCAUAUAUAUGUUCUUGGUAGAAAUAGGAGUAGUGGGGGCAAGAUAUGCGGAUUAGGCUAAUUAAGGAAGAGAAAUCCAUAACUGGGAGGUUAUGGGUUAAUUCCUAAUUAAUUAGUUAAAAAUCAUCGUUUUGCGUGCGACUUAAAAUUCAACGAAACCAACCUCUGAACCACGCUCGGGGUUCUAUUCUGAGCGUUUUGAUAUAUAUAUUGGUUACUUUCGAAAAUUGGCCCCGACGAACGCAGAGAAACGCAAGGAACUGGAACCAGAGAAACGACACGCAAACCGAGGCAGGAUUUUAGCGUUUCAAAGGUCAGAUUUUCUCACUUUUGUGAUUGAGUAUAGGUCACAAUCAAAAGAGAAAGUGGGCCCUUUUUGCUCCACUCAAAUGGGGACAUGUGGCAGAGCUUGAAUAAAAUAAUAGAAAAAGAGAAAACCCUUUUUAUUUAAAACCAAAAAGCUUUUCUCUCUCUUCACUCAGCCCCCACACUUUUUCAGACAGCUCUCUCUCUCCCUCACGUUGCCAUUUUCUUCUCCCUCAUUCUCCAUUGAAGCUCCAAACAAAGCUUCAACCUUUGGCCAUCAUUUCUGCCCCAAAUCGCGAAAGGAGGGCAUUUUUGGAGUCGUGAAGUGCGUGGCUACGAGUCGGACUUCGAAAUUUCAGGUUUGGGUGGACUUCUUUCUCCUUUGAUUUUCGUGGGUAUGGGGUUUGGGGAGAUAUGAUGGGUAGUCUUGCUAGGUUUCUGCUGUGUGAUGAUUAUUUGUGAAGACAUUUGUUGAAAGCUUGUUGAAACUGCCAUGUUUGGAUGAGUUAGACAUACCCAUUCUAUUUUAGGGUUUUUGUGAUGAUGUUUGUGAUGUUUAUAUGCUGAAAUUGCCCAUGGAAAACUGUUAGAGAUGAAAUGUAGAGUUAACCUAGGGUUGGAAAGUGAGAAUGUGGUGUUAUGAGUGGAAAAAGAGUGAGGCGUUGAGAGUUGGAAGGCUAAGUCUGAAUUCUGUGGUAAAUGGAGGUUAAAGUGAGUUAAUCCUAGCUUGAAAUAUCAUUUAGGACUUAUGAGAAAGCUUGGACUGUGCUAGAGAGAAAAAUAAAUGACCAAAGUGAACAAAGAGCCAUUUCUAGGGCAAAUUUGGGUGUUGAAGAGUCAAAUUUUAAUUCGGUGAGAUUUUAGGUGUAAAUCCAGUUUGAGCAAGUCUAAAUAGAUGUUAUGGACUGGUGUGAGGUGAGAGUUUGCUUCAAAUUUACCUCAUUCUAAAUUUCACUUUUCAAACCUAGAAAACCCAUUGAAUUGAGGGGUUGUGGACACCUAGAUUCUGUGUUGCUGUGUUUUGAAGCUUGACUUUGGGUUAGACAUGGUUGAUACAUGAUUUGGGACUUGUAGGAAUUGAUUUGGGCAAGAUUGGAUGAGGGAAAGUGGAAUUUUCGAAAUCUGCACUUAUGCAGAAUUUUGCUGUCAAAAUAGGUGCAACAGGAUUUUGGUUUGUGCAGAAAAAUGCUUGUGUGUGGUUGGCUGUGGAAAGAGCAGUGCAGAAUGAGUUUUGGAUGUUUUCUAGUAGAUCCCAACGGUCAAAAUGUAGGCUUAAGUACUAGAGACUUCCAGUAAAAUUUUCGAGUCGAUCCAACGGUUAACGAAUUGGAACGAAGGAAUUGUUACUGGGGUCUUUAAGUGAGAAAAGCUGUGAUUUUGGUUGGUGUUUUGGCAGAGUUGUCUGCCUUUGCUCUGUUUUGCUUGGCUGUGAUAGCUUGUGCUGUUUGAAUGUUGUUUUGCUUGGAUGUUGUGGAAGCUUGGGAGGAUUGAUGGGGACCCGGUGUUGAGAGAAACGAGGAUAUGGGCUACGUGGGAGUACGUGAGCUCAGAUGGAGGUGGGCAACAGGGGAUGGUGGGUUUAUGCGCGCAUUGUGGAUGUGGAAAACUUGUUGUGCACCAUCGCCCGACCGCCACCUAGUACCACAUGUGAUGAGUACCCCAUAAUCCUACAGGCUUGAGAUGAGGAAGUGUUGAAGGGUGAAACUUCCUGCUUUUAUUGUUGACCACAGAGUGGUACCUGAAGAUAUGUCGCGGGGGUCAGGAGACCUUGGGGACGUCAGGUGGGGUGCUAAUACCCAAAACCAAGCUUGACCAAUCCCGACCCAACCCGGGCAUAGUCGGUCAGUGAGAACCUGUGAUGUACCUAAGCAGGCGAGCUCCUGGCAAUCAACAGAUAAAAGGAACAAAGACCACAAAGCAAGGGGGCUUGUGGUGGCUGGCCAGCUGUGAAUUUUGUGUGAUAUGUGGAUUAUGGCCUCUGGUAAUCGAUUACCAAGGGUGGGUAAUCAAUUACAAGGCUUAAAAUUAAAGACAGGAGGCUAAGAUGGUCUCUGGUAAUCGAUUACCACGGGGUGUAAUCGAUUACCAGGCUUGAAAACGAAGUCAGGAAACUAAGGGAGCCUCUGGUAAUCGAUUACCAGCCUGUGUAAUCGAUUACACAAAGGGAUGGGUCACUGGUAAUCGAUUACCAGGUAUGUGUAAUCGAUUACACAGUGCAUUUUUGCAUAUUUUAUGUCCUGAGGCUGUGUUAUUCAAGUUUAGCCUCUGGUAAUCGAUUACCAAGUCUGUGUAAUCGAUUACCAGAGAUGAAAAGCCUUAAAAUACCCCUUUUAAUUGCAUGUAGUGGUUAUGAGACGCAUUGUGUGGCGGCAUAGUAGAUUCUUGUGAAAGAGUCUACCCCUUUCUCUUCUUUCUUGUAGAUCGUGAUGGCGGCGCAGCUAAUCCGUGAUCGAGUAGAGAUGGAAUGCCUAGAGGGAGCUUGGGAGACCCUCGAAGGCAACACGAGGUGCCGAUUUCGGGGCACUAUUCGAUUUACGGUGACUUCUUUAGUGCAUCCAGAUGAGCCCGCACGGACGCUUCAGCGCACGGUGGAGUGGAUACUACCCACGCCUACACCAUAUCGUCUAGUGGAGCCCGUCCAAGUGAUCGAGGUAACGUCAUCCGAGGAAGACCCUGAGGAGGAUCUGGAGAAGCUACCUCCUGAGCCUGCUGUGGAUGCCCUUGACUUUCUAGAGGGUGAUGAGGAUCCACUUCUUGAGGUGGAUUCUCCCGAGGAAGUCAUGUCGGCAUCUGAGGCAGACUCUACGGAGGAUGGUGGCCCGGGGGAGAUGGCGAUCAGCGGAGGCUCUUCAUCCUAGUGGACAGCUCUUUGGAUUCGUUUUGUAUAUUUUUGAGGGUGGGUGUAUCUAGGACUGACUGUUAGGUUUACUCUUUUGUUUUUGUAUGGGUAGACCUGAUGUAUAGGAAUUUGAUGAUUGUAUACAUAUGGCUGAAGCCACCACUAUGAACACCUUUGCUCUGGAUGACACUAUGUAUUUUGUAAAACUCCCAUAUUUUGGACAGCUUUAAAUGAUGAAUGCAUUUAUGAUCGAUCUUGUUAUUUGAAAAGAAAGCAUUAGCAACUUUAUUUGUAAAAGAGUUUAUCGACCGUAUUUUAUUCUUUUAUUUUCAUGUGACGACCUAAAGUAAUGGCUGGUACAUUCUUCCUUUGAAACAGCAAAAUAGUUUAGAGAUUAUGAGCGGUAAGAAAGAAAUGACUCCGAAUAGAGUUGUGAACUGGCCAUUCAGGACUCUGUAUGAGGAUUUUCCUUCUAAACCUAGUUAUGGUGAAAAGAGAAAGAAAUGAAAAAGAAAAAGAAAAAAAAAAUUUACCAUGGUUUUUGUUAUUUAAAUUAUUACUAUUAAACCAGUCAUUAAUUUAGGGACGCCACAGAUGUUAACAAUCAUUUGAUUGUGAUAGAAACAUCAGUAAUAAAAAACUAUUUGACGUAGGCUCACAACACAAAGAAUGAGUUAUACUAUGGCUUGCAAGCAUAAUCGAAUUACUUGACUUCAACACGCAACACAAGAAAAUAGGUUGCACUAGAAUUGGAAGGUAUAGUCAAAAUAGUAUUCCUUAUGAAAUAUAUCCCGAUAUGGGUCAUCAAACUAUAAGGUAUUAGCAUCGCUAAGAACAAGAAAUCACAAACAACCAUAUUAUCUAUACAAUUAAGGGAGAACACCUUACUACAAGCACACAUAGAAUUAUAAGGUUUCUAUAACGACUAUAUAGCAUACAUAUAAGGAGUAAGAAUUAAAAAGUCACUAGGAUGUAUUUAACGAAUCACAAGUUUCAACAAUCACGUUUAUGAUCACCCACUAAGAAAAGAAGGGAUUAGCCAACACAUGUUAACACAUUGAUUAAACACACUCAUUCACAACACACCUGCAAGUUCAAGGUUCUUGACGACAUUGAUACACACAUCAAGUUUUCAAGAUAACUUAUAUCACUUAAUGGCUUGCCAUGACAUCCUACCGCACUUCACAAAUAAUAGAGAUGACUAGUCUCAUAACUCAUGACUCAAUAGUGGAUUUAUGGUAUAGUAGACAUUAAGGAUGCAAUACACAUCACAAGCAUCAUUCAGUCUCAUUUAAUCAUCCAAGAAAAAAAACAAUUAAUAAUUCAAGCAUGCUCAACAAAAAUAUUCAUAAGUAAUCACAGAGAGCACACACCAGAAUAUGGUAAGCACAUAACACACUGGCCGAAAGGUUCGACCUGCUUUGAUACCACUAAAUGUGACACCCUCUACCCUAUACAUAUAUGUACUAAUAAAAGAAAAGAAAUCAUAAUUAAUUAAAAGUUUUAAAAACACAUUUAAAUAAAAUCCUUUCAACAGGGUAAAAGGCUCACAUUUAUUUUCUUUUACAUCAUAUUCAAACUUGUCCAAAUAAAUAAUAAAGUCAUCUCAGCUCAAACAAGGCCGCCUAAGACUUCAUACAAUUAAUAUAGAAACCCAUAUCCCAAUGUCACAUCCUAUCAGAACAUUGUGUCCCGACAUCCUUCAGCACAAGGUUCCUUAAAGCAAUUCACCUAGUCAUCUGCUCCCCCGAACACAAAGUUCAAGAUCAUCACAGGAUCCAAACACAAACAACAUAUAGAGAGUGAGUUAUCACAUUCCUAACUAAUAGAGAAACAAGAUAACUAGAUAUACAUAUCAUAUAAAUGAGAUACAACUUACUUAAACAUAACUCUCAUAAUUCCACCCCUUUGUCAUUUAAAAUUCACUUUUCAAUCAUCAAUCACAUUACACAUGAAUCACAGACUCCGAUCGAGACAUAAUAACACAUCAAUUUCAUAAUAGACAAUUAGGAAGCGUAUGGAACAAUUAUACUAAGACUAAAGCCUAUAUGCAAUGUGGUACCGUGUCAGUGAAAAACCACCCUGGGACGCUUAGGAGUACAUAACAAGACACACCACAACAUAGGUAUGUCAGGUUACUCUCACUAAGUAAAAUCAUAGGGAGACCAGUCAGGGUCACGCUGUUUUGCGAGAAUGUUCCAACCAUGUGGGAUCGACAUAGGCUUAAAGGAGCACUCAAACUGGGUGUAUUUACCCCUACACUCUGAAGAGUCCGUCAGGGCCUCUCCCUCCUGAUUCAGGUCCAACCCCUAAAAUAAUUUCUUGCAUGCAGACACUGCUCAUGAAUUAUACAAUACUCACGACCUCACACUCGUGUUUUAAACGCGUUUAACACAUUGCACUACAAUUUAACACUGGUUCCUAAAUAAGAAAGCUACACUUUCUCUUUAACACUGGUUCCUAAAUAGGAAACCUACACUUUCUCUUUAACACUGUGCAUAAACACUUUUCUCAAGAUAACACUGGUCGGGUUAUUGUAUAAUUCACAACUCACAACACAAGUAAUAUCACAUCAAGUGUUAACCACACACUUAUUCAUAACUAAAACUUGUUCACAAUUUCGCAUCUUAUAAUGUCACAAUCCACCAUCACAUGUUUACAUGUAUAUCACAGAUUAACACAUAUUCAACUUUGCACUUAUACUCAAUCUCAAUAACAAUAUUAUAUUCUCAAAGCAACAUGUUAUUCCAAAAUUCAUCACAAAUUCAAUUAACUACAACAAAUUUGUUAAAUAAUGGAGGUUAUUUUUUCGUUUAGUGGAGGUUUUUACCCUCCACAAAAUAAAUUACGGAGGUUUUCAAAAACCUCCGCAGUUAGAUUCGCCACAAGCAAUUAGCGGCGGUUUUCGAAAACCUCUGGUAUUGAGAAUAUUUUGCAGAGGUUUUUUUGUAGAGGUUUUAAACCUACGCUAACUAUGGAGGUUUUUUAAAGAAGGUUUUAAACCUACGCUAACUGUGGAGGUUUAUUGGAAGAGGUUUUUAUACCUACACUAAAUAUGGAGGUUUUUUGUAGGAGGUUUUAAACCUAUGCUAAAUGCGGAGGUUUAUUAAAAGAGGUUUUAAAACUAUACUAUGGAGGGAUUUUUUUUAAAUCAUGCUAGCAAUAGAUGUUUUACAAUUGAUUUUCUAAUUCUCCUUAUUUUCUUGUAUAUAAUGAUUUUGUAUACUCAUUUUAGUUUCAUAAUCUACAUGUAUUAUAAUUUUUCAUUUUCUUAUGAUAUCGAUAAAAAAAAUGUAAUAAAAAAACUCAUAAUGAGGACAUAGAAAUUAUAUUUCAAUAACCAAAAUAAUAGCAUAUAGUUCAAAGAUUUAUAAUUUAAAUUUCUAUUGUAAAUCAAAGUAUGACAUAAAAUCCAUAACAAAGUAAUAUUAGUAUUGUACUAAACUUUUAAUUUAAAUCCAAAAUACAUUAUAAGCAACUAAGGGUUGCUAGCACCAGAAGAUCCUCUUGCAUCCAAAGGUGUAUUAGGAACACUUGAAGCAUCAUUUGGCUGAAAUAAGAAAAAAAAAACACUUAGUCACAUAUACUAUAUACAAGGGUGUAUCACACAUACUAAAUCAUAAUGACCCUUUGUUCUUGCAUAUAAAAUAUGUUUGUUCAACAACAUUAAAUUUGCGUCUCAUUCCAUAAAAUACAAAGAUCAAUUCCUCCUGAAACGUCGAAACACAAGAAGUGUGGCUGUGCAUCAAUUAGAUCUCUUUAAUUCCCUUACAAAUUAUUCUUUAAAAUAACUUAUGUUUAACCAAAAAUAUCAAUAGCUGACUUCAUUGUAUAUCACACGCAUAACUAAGAGUUUGUAUUAUACACAUUCAAUAGGUUGUUAGUGACGUGUGCAACUCCUAUACUAAGCAUGAUAAAAAAAAACUCCUAUACGUACCAAAAAACUCCUAAAGAGAAUGUCCCCUUGGCUGUUUAUUAAUAGUGAUCAAUGUUUAAUUACAGUAAUAACCUAAUCCCUUAAUUGUAGGGAUAAUAAUCAAGAUAAAUCAAUUACAUACAAAUAGUAAGUAGGAAACUAAAUCAAUAAUGUAAAUAAGGAAACAAUCAUAUCAAAAUGAUGUCUUAUCCCAUUGGUUGAAUGUCAAUGCAUUAUCCCCUAACUGGAGUGCACAAUUUAGGGUGAUUAACAAUUAACAUCAGCUAGUGGAAUUGAUUCUUCUAUUCUGAAAAUGGCGCAUAGAAUUUAUCGUAUAUAGUAUAGAGCUAGAGAGAGAAAAGACUAUCAAGGCUUGUAAACUAGCAUAUCAAUUAAUAAUAAAUAAAAAAUUAAGGGGCCCCAAUUAUAACAAGAAUGUUCUGCACCAAAAAAUGAAGGAUAUAAUCUCUAUCACGAGGCCAAAAUCUAAAUGAAGUAUUUUUUCUCUGCACCGCACCGCACUACACAAACAUCCAUGAUUUCUCACGCAUACACAUUGCAAAACAAAGGAAAGAAAUACCAGAGUAAAAUAAAAAUAAUGCCUAGACAAUACACAUGCCAGAAGAUAAGAUAUAUUAAAAUAAAAUAAAAAUAGUGCUUCCGAAGAUAACUGCGCAAUACCUGGCCUUAUUUUCUCUUUGAAUCCUUCGAAUCUCUCCGAAGAUAACUGCCCUCUGCAAUAGCAAGCAAAACACAUGCUUGUAUCAAGUGUGUAUUGAUUUUGUCCAAAUAUAUACAUAAAAAAAAGAAAGAAAAAAACAAAGAUGAUGAUUCGAUUAAUUAAAACAAAAAUAAGAAAAGAGCAACGGACCUUUGAACAAAGAGAGGAAGUACCUUUGAAGAGAGGGGAUUUGGGAAGCGAGAGAAGAAAAGAAAAAUCAAAGCCUGGAACGAGAAACCGAGAGAAAUUUUGGGGGUAAUCCGAAGAGAGGGAUUUUGGGAAUCUUUAAUGAAGAGAAAUAGGAAGUUGUGACUGAAAGAGGGAUUUUGUAAUUUUUUUGAGAGGGAAUUUUUUUUUGAGGGGUUUUGUGAUUUUUUUGAGAGGGAAUUUUUUUGGAGGGGGUUUUGUGAUUUUUUUGAGAGGGAAUUUUUUUUAGGGGUUUUGUGAUUUUUUUGAGAGGGAUUUUUUUUUUGAGGGGUUUUGUGAUUUUUUUGAGAGGGAAUUUUUUUUGGAGGGGUUUUGUGAUUUUUUUGAGAGGGAAUUUUUUUUUUGAGGGGUUUUGUGAUUUUUUUGAGAGGAAUUUUUUUUUUUUGCCGGAAAGAAAACAUGAUUUAUUUUAUUUUAAAGAGAAAAUAGUGGGAAAAUAAUAUUUAAUUAGCAGAGGUUAUAAACCUCCACAAAUUAAGCACAAAAAAUUGUAGUUUUUAAUAAAUUAUGGAGGUUUUUAAAACCUCCGCAAAAUAAGCACAAAAAAUUGUAGUUUUUAAUAAAUUAAGGAGGUUUUUAAAACCUCUGCAAAAUAAUCUCCAUUAUUUAACAUUUUUUUUUGUAGUGAUUUAUAGACACUGCUCAUGAAUUAUACAAUACCCACGACCUCACACUCAUAUUUUAAACACGUUCAACACAUUGCGCUACAAUUUAACACUGGUUCCUAAAUAGGAAACCUACAUUUUCUCUUUAACACUACGCAUAAACAUUUUCUCAACAUCAACACUGGUCGGGUUAUUGUAUAAUUCACAACUUACAACAUAAUUAUUGUCACAUAAGUGUUAAACACACACACACACACACACACUUAUUCACAACCAAAUAUCAUGCCCACAAUUUAACAUCUCAUAAUGUCACAAUCAAUCAUCUCAUAUUUAUAUGUAUCUCGCAAAUUGACACAUUCCACUUUGUACUACUCAAUCUCCAUAAUAAUAUUAUAAUGUCAUUAUAAUAAUUUAUUAUACCUCAUAACUCAUAUACACAUCACACAGUAAUCAUAUUUGCAUGACACAAAACAUAUAUAUAUAUAUAUAUAUAUAUAUAUAUAUAUAUAUAUAUAGUAAAUCAAGCUACAUUAUUUUUAAUCAAAAGAGUUUUUAUAACAAUUAAUUUAAUAUUACAUCAAAAGAAAUUACCACUAGGCAUUAACCGUACAACUUUCUUUAAUUUAUUAUUUUAGUAUUACAAUAAAUAUAUACACAUAACAUGUUGAUCAUCGUCUUAGAAAAAAUCAGAACAAGAUAAUAAUUUGUAUAAAAUAAGUCAUUGAAUAAUAUUAUUUAGAAUAUAAUUCACGUUAAUAAAAAGAGCUCAAUUUUUUUAAGGGUUCACACUCAACACAAGAACACAUCAAUUUCACAGCAAUUUCUCAUUGGGACAUCUGCUGGUUUAUCAAACAUAUAUAAUUCACAGUUAUAAUUGUAAGGAUAAAAUAAAAAAUUACGGAAACACCCCAAAACCCAUUCCAAUUGAUACUCUAAGGAUCCCUACACAUGUUCUCACUAAUCCUCAAUUGUGAAUAACUCAUCCCUUACCUUAUAGUCACUCAAGCGUUCUCGGUUUUCAAUUGUGGCAUUUUUGGUGCUCUCUAGAGCUCCUCCUCCGGUUGCUCUGUUAGGGUUCCCAAAUGUUUGAGAGAAGGAGAAGGGAUUGAAGGUGUUCGAUGCAACUUUGUCUGUUCAUAGGAAUUCUUUUGUAAAUCCUAACACUGAAGGUGUGCGGAAUUAAAUUGUGAACCACAUAUCAAAAUUUCACCAUAAUCCAACGCUUAAUGAGUUCAGGAUCAUAGUUUUACCGUGAAAGUUCUGGGUUUCUGAGGGAAAGAAAAGGUUACUAUGCGAAGGGUAUUUCUAUCACCUUCAACAUCUUUUCAUAAUUCCUAACGGUGAGAAGGCUCAGAAUUGAGUUACGAGCCUGAUGCUUAAUUUUCACGAUGAUCUAACAGUGAAUGAGUUCGAGAUCGUCAUUUUUCUGAGAUAGGUUUGGUGGUAUGCGGGAAAAAGAGAGGGUUUUGGGAGGAGGAGAGGGAAAAACGAAAUUGAGAGUAACAGGAAGCAUUUUAUAAAAAAGAAUUUUAUUUUAUCCCUAUCAAAUGAAUAAAUAAAAUACCUUUUUUUCUUCUCUCAUACCAUUAUUUUAAUUAAUAAAAUUAUUUCUCCUUAUUUAUUUAAUUACAAAAGCCUCAUCAUUUUUUUUAAAACUCUAUUUAUUUUAAAUGAAAAACCUUUUUAAUUUAAUUCACGAAAAAUGGAAUGUUACACCAUCUACUGUAUAUGUCAAUGGUGAGAUCAUUGAAGAAGAAUGAGUUUGGGAUGUGGAUACUAUGUCAUAUAUUGACUUGAUGAAGGUGAUUAAGUCUAUCGGGUACAAAGCAUUCAAGUGCUUAUGGUACAGGCACCCCCUAAAAGCACUUUGUAGAGGGUCGAAGCAACUUAAUUGUGACUCUGAUAUUUUGCAAUUGGCUGAAGAUGUUUCUAGGUUAAUGUGGUUGAAGUGUAUGUGGAAGAGGGGGUGUUUGACAAAUCUGAAAAAAAGUUGAAUGAUUUUAAGGGAGAUGAGGUUGUUGUAAUUGAUGGAGUGGAGGUUGAAUCAGUUGUGGAGGGUGAAGAUGAGGCUGAGGUUGAGGUGGAGGCUGAGGUUCAGCUUUAUGAGGAAGGUUUGGUGGAGGUGAGGUGCAGGGUGAAGAUGAGGCUGGUGUUGUAGGUGAGAUGGAGGUUGUUGUUGAGGGUGUGGAUGAUGAUGAUGUGGGGGCUGAAGAAACUCAUGAUGAUGAUAAUAUUGGGGCUGAUGAAGAUGAUAAUGAUAGCAGCGACUGUAGUGAAGUUUCAGAUAGUGACUUUGAAGAAAGCUCGGAUUGGACUGUCAGACAUUUAGUCAAAGUACUGACCCCACAUUUGAUACUAAUAAAGUAGACUCAACAAAUUGUGAUUUUGCUGAUGAAGGUGGAUAUUCUUAUGAGUUGGAUACUCCAUCUGGAAGUGAAGAUGAAGGUCCCCCAAAAGUUAGAUUUCCUUGUUUUAAGGUGCCUGAAAAUGAUGAAGAUAUGAAGUUUGAUGUUGGGUUACAAUUCAGUAGUAAGAAACAAAUUCUAGAGGAGGCUUUGUAAUGCACUCAUUAAGUUUUUAGCAUUUGCUGUAAUUAAAGUCUGAAAAAUAUCAAACAAUUAUGACCUCAUCUACAAAUGUUGUCAAGACAAAUCUCUGAAGUUUAUUACAAUGUUAUAUCUGGCUUGUUUUCAUUUUGUUUACCCUAUUUUCAUUUUGGAACUUGCUUUCCUGUCUAUGUUCAUUAAGGAGGCUUUGUAAUGCAGUCAUUAAGUUUUUAGCAUUUGCUCUAAUUAAAGUCUGAACAAUAUCAAACAAUUAUGAGCUCAUCUACAAAUGUAGUCAACACAAAUCUCUGAAGUUUAUUACACUGUCAUAGCUACCUUGUUUUUUGCAAUAUGGUGAUACUACAAAUAUCGUGGGAUACUACAAAUCUAACAGUUUAGUAAGAUUUAUGAUGAAGCUCCAAAAAUAACCAUCAUUGUAAUUCGUUUUGUUCAUGUUUCCUAGUUAAGGAAUAAGUCUACACUCUACAAGCUUAUGUUAAGAACCACAUUUUUUUUGUUAACAACCAUCAUUGCUUAUGAAGAAAGCUAAACCAAUAUUAACAACUUCGAUUCCUAUUUAACAGCACCACUGAAACUCAAGUCACAAGACUUAAUUUCACAACAUUCACAAGAGGUCAUUGUAGAUUGAGGAAUAUUUCAGUCACAACUAAACACGUGAAAACCUUGACACAAGCUUAAAUUCUCAAAACAGAGUGCCUAAACAAACUUAGUCAUAUUUCAGUCAAAACAUAUUUUAAAGCUGAAUAUAAAAUUAAUAGCAAAUUUGAACACCCAUAAAAUCUUCUUUCAUUAACAUAGCCAUUGAACAAUUCAACAAUUACAAUAUGCAGAUUACAAAAAACCAAAUUAUCACCAUUACUUUCUUCCUAAAUAAACAACAUAAUGGUGCCAAAUUACUACCAUUUGCAGAGAUCCAACAAAAAAAUCACCAACAACCAAUUACAUUCCCCUGCUACUACAUUGUCAAAUUACAUUCCCCUGCUACAUAAUAAAAACAAUAACAACCAAACACAGACCCAAGAAAAAACCAAUACAAUCCCUAAAAAUUUUCCCUUUAUCUUCGUGUCACUCAUCUUGGUUUGCAAAUCCUUUUCCCUCAACUUCAAUUCAUCAACCUUCUUCAUCAAUGCUACAAUAAUCUUCUUCUGACGAAUGUUGGCAACUGGAUCGUGCCACUCAAAAUAAUUACACCCUUUCCUACCUGUAACCUACAUGCCCAAAAUAACCGAAAAGAAUCAACAAAUAAACUAUAACAUCUGGUCUACCAAAUUAUUCCUUACCUUGUAUAGACUACAACCAUAAAAAUGCCUCCCUAGAUUAUCCUCGGUCCACGAUGUCACCAGUGGAGCCUCUACGUUAGACAAACACACCACACGACUUUGGGCCUUCGAGGUGUACGAUGAGGAACUCCUUUCCAUGUCGAGGUUUACAGACGACACCCAAACACUGGGUUUUAGGGGCUACACCAAAACCUUCACCAGGACGACGAUCCAGCGACGCCGACCACCUAGCGAUGCCGGCAAUCCACCCACGAACAAAACUAGGUUUUUGCUUUGAUGACCACGAGGACAAAAUCGCUGCAGACAAUUUUAGGGUUAGGGAUUUCUCAAUUUGUGGCUUUUAGGGUUUCCUUCACCGUAAAAAAAAAUUACCACUACGGGUUAAAAAUCGCCAAUUAUUUUAAUGGCCUAUCAGACGUUGACACAUGGCAGUAAAUGUCACUGCCUAACGGUGAAUGUCUAAUUGUGGCCUGUGGGACCAACAUUGCAAGAUUUUACAAAAUAGGAGGAUGAAAUUCGUGAUUAAAAAACUGGGGGACCAAAUUCGAAACUGGAGAUAAAGUGGGGGACCAAUUUUGUAAUUUUGCCUAAACUAUAGAAGCAAAGCUUCAUGGUGAAUCAAAGGCGAUUCAAAGGUGUUUUGAUGAUAACAAUAAUGAUAACAAAAGAUGAUGACAAAGGUGAUGACAAAAAGCUCAAAGAUCAAUCAAAGAACAACUCAAGUGAAUCAAGAACAAUUCAAGAGUUCAAGAUAGAAUCAAGAAGAAUUCAAGACUCAAGAGGAAAGUUAAGAGUCAAGAAUCAAAGAUUCAAGGUUCAAGAUCUCAAGAAUCAAGAUCAAGAUUCAAGACUCAAGAUUCAAGAAUCAAGAGAAGGCUUAAUCAAGAUAAGUAUGAAAAGUUUUUCUCUAAAAUUGAGUAGCACAUGAUUUUUCUCAAAACAUGUUUACCAAAGAGUUUUACUCUCUGGUAAUCGAUUACCAGAUUGCUGUAAUCGAUUACCAGUAGCAAAAUGGAUUUGAAAAAUUUUGAAAUUGAAUUUUCAACGUUCCAAUUAAUUUCAAAAAGCUGUAAUUGAUUACAAUGUUUUGGUAAUCGAUUACUAGUGUCUUUGAACGUUGAAAUUCAAAUUCAAAUGUGAAGAGUCACAUCCUUUCGCAUAAAAGCCUUGUGUAAUCGAUUACACUGAUUUGGUAAUCGAUUACCAGUGAUUGUUUCUAAACAAAUUAAAAGAUGUAACUCUUCAAAAGGUUUUUUGACUUUUUCAAAUUGGUUUUAAGUUUUUCUAAAAGUUAUAACUCUUCUAAAUGGUCCUCUUGGCCAGACAUGAAGAGUCUAUAAAAGCAAGGCUUUGUUUUGCAUUUCAAUGAUCUUGAACACUUAUUCAAUCAAUCUUUUACAAGCCCUAAAUCUCUUUGAACUUCUUCUUCUUCUUUGUACCAAAAGCUUUCCAAAGUUUUUUGGUUUUCUAAACCUUAAAAACUUGUGCCAUUCAUUAUUUUCUUCUCUUCUCCCUUUGCCAAAAAGAAUUCGCCAAGGACUAACCGCAUGAAUUCUUUUUGUGUCUCUCUUCUCCCUUUUCCAAAAGAACAAAGGACUAACCGCCUGAAUUCUUUUGUGUCUCCCUUCUCCCUUGUCAAAGAAUUCAAAACAACACAGUCUGAGAAUUCUUUUGAUUCUACCCUUUCCCUAAUACAAAAGUGUUCAAAGGACUAACCGCCUGAGAAUUCUUUUGUAUCCCCAUUCACAAAGUCUCAAAGGUUUAACAGCCUGAGAUCUUUGUCUUAACACAUUGGAGGGUACAUCCUUUAUGGUACAAGUAGAGGGUACAUCUACUUGGGUUUGACUGAGAACAAGAGAGGGUACAUCUCUUGUGGAUCAGUUCUAGUGGAGGGUACAUCCACUAGGUUCAAAGAGAACAAGAGAGGGUACAUCCCUUAUGGAUCUUUGCUUGUAAAAGGAUUUUUACAAGGUUGAAAGAAAUCUCAAGGACCGCAGGUCGCUUGGGGACUGGAUGUAGGCACGGGUUGUUGCCGAACCAGUAUAAAAACUCUUGUGUGUUUAUCUCCUUCUUCCCUACUCUUUUAAUUUCCGCUGUGCAUUUAAUUUCCGCUUUUACUUUCUGUUAAGUUUCUCUUCUACUCCUUAUUCUCUUAACAACAUAAGUAAAAGCCUUAGAAGAGUAAAUUUUUAAUUAGUAAAGGUUUAGGAAUAAUUAAUUCAACCCCCCUUCUUAAUUAUUCUGAGGCCACUUGAUCCAACAUAAACAAAAUGGGAAAAAAGAAUUAUAAGCACUGAACAAUAUUCAAAGGUAAGGUUAACUUUCCCUUUAGGCCUUCAUCGAUCUCUCACUUACAAGAAACAAACAGUGGAGUCUAUUUUGGAUGUCCAAUACUCUAUCAUCAAUAUAGUCAUAAACACACUUACCAUGUGCGUCUUGGAACCUUCCAGUGAGGUUUUCAUAUGCUGGCAACAUGUGUAUCCUAUUGAUCUUAUUGUUUAUCCUUAGCUGCUAGCUCAUCAAGCAUAAAUCAUAUAUGUUGACUAAGCAUUGCAUAUGUCAUAAAAAGUGUCAUUGAACUUGAUGAUAUCGUAAAUUAAUUAGAUGAAGAUAUGCUAUUUUUUCAAACAAAAGUUAUUUUGAAUUUUAAAGCUUUUUCACAACACUUCUGAAUGUUUGUCUAUUGUUUAAUUUUAUCUUUCAAUGUAUAAAUUACAACAAAGGUCACAGAACGUAAAUUUUAGUAUUCUAGUAGAAGUUUACACUGUUAAUCAAAAAAGAAAAUCUGGGUAGAUGACCAAUUUUUAAGUUAAGACAUCAUUAUUUUACCGGUAUUAUAUAUGAUAAUGAUAUAGCAUUGAGCUAUGUUAAAAUACAGCUAUGUUAAAACUUUUCUUCUUUAUCAACCAUCGUGCCAAACAAACCAUUCCAAUCCCGAAGUGUCAUAUCAGUAUAAUCCAACACAUCAGGGCUAAUCCGAUGAAGCCUGCCACAAGGAACAGUGAUUUUCUCAUAAGAUAGAUACACAAGACCCCCAAAUUUCCCAAACUCUUCAGAAUCCUGAACCAAUCUAUUCUAGGUAAUUCAGGGUAAAUGUCCAAACUCAUCAGAGAUCCGAAUCUAUCUAUUCUGGGUAAUGAACGUGAAAUGUCCAAACUCUUCUGAAAAUCAAACCAAUCAGCUUCGGGUAAUGCAGGGUAACUGCCCUCUAUUCUGGGUAAUGCAGGGUACUUGUCCUAGAAACUACACCACGAUAUGAUUGCCUUGUUGUGAUUAAGUGAAUAGGAAUCCUAGAUCCUCGUGUUCUGUAAUAAAAGAUUCAAGCAAAUCCUCUUGAAUAACACUAAAACUGGUUGGCAGUGAUUCUGAAUGCGAACCAAAUUCUUACUACAUGACCCUGGUCUUUGAAUUCAUGAUACCUACUUUUUUAGAGCAUCCACUACAUGACUUUGGCCUUGGAAUUCAUGAUAAGCAUCCGAAUUGGAACAAAAGAAUAAUGAGAGAAUAAUUGAAAAUUCAUCUAAUAAUGAAUAACCAUAAUUUAAUUUGGAUGAGUUGUAAUGUUAGAACUCCCCUGAAAAAGUACAUGAGAUCAAUCUUAAAUCCCAAGUUACUCAGUCUUGUCAAGGCUAAAGACAUAGUAGCAAAUGCAGCACUAGAAAACCAAGCUAUAUGCAUCAGGUGUCCUUUUCACUUCUUUAUCAGAGAAAACGGAGUACACAGAAGUGAUAAUCAAAAUAAAAAAGUCCACAUGUGAUUCCAGCCGGGGAGAGCUGGAGCGCGCCUUUGCGAACAAGAUGACAAGGCAGAUGUAAGGAGAUAUCUGAAUAUGCAUUUGAUUUUGCAUUGCACAAAUUUGAACAAAUUCUUUUUACAUACAUUUGAGAUGUGAAGAUGAGACUUCAUUAUAUACAGCUAGAUGUAACUACUUUAGCUAUAAAGAUGGAGUUUUUUAUAACAACCUAUAGGAAGUUAUUUUCCUCUAUCCUUUACAUCCCCCGCAAACUGAUAGUGGGUAAUUGAUAAACAUUCAGUUUGGGUCGAAGGCUCAAAAAAGUACUACUUGAGGGAGCCUCGGUUAGAAGAUCAGCUACUUGAAAUUAUGAGCGUAUGUGCUUGACAACUAUUUCUCCAUUUGCAGCCUUUUCACGGACAAACCAGAGGUCCACUUCAAAAUGUGUUGAUUUUGAAUGCAACACUGUAUUAGCUGUUAUCAUUACAACACCAUGAUUAUCAAACCACAAUAAAGGAGGCUUUGUUUGGAUGAUAUGCAAUUCAGUAAGAAGGGACUUGAGCCAUUUAAUUUCGGCAAUUAGAGCUGCUAAGCUUCAUAAUUCUGCUUCAGUGCUAGACCUAGAAACUGACUGUUACUUCUUCACAAGCUAGGACACAAGAUUAUUUCCCAGAUAAACAUAGAAUCUUGAGGUGGACCUCAUAUCAGAGGAGUCACAAGCCUAAUCUGAAUCACUAUAGCCAGUCAUAAAAAGAUUCUGUGAAGGAUAAAAUGCUAAACCAUGAUCAAUAGUACCAUUGAGAUAUCGCAGAACACGUUUUGUAGCUUUGCAAUGACAUUCAAGAGGGCUAUGCAUAAACUGACAUAGUUUAUUGACUGCAUAAGCUAUGUCUGGACGUGUUAUGGUGGCAUAUUGCAAUGCUCCAACCACAGAUUUGUAUAAAGUUGGAUUAGAAAAGGAAUUAGUACCAUCCAUAUGCAGUUUCGAACCAGGGGCUAGAGGAGUCUUUAUGGGUUUUGCAUUAUGCAUGUUGACUUUGGAUAAAAGAUCAGUUAUGUAUUUGGAUUAAGAGAGGAGAAGAGCACCAGUAGUAGUGUGUUUGGCUUCAAUGCCUAAGAAAAAGUGUAAGGUACCAAGGUCUUUGAGAGGAUACAGAGAGUGGAGUUUGGAAAUCAUAGACUGGAUUUUAGAGUUUGAGUUGCCUGUUAUUAUGAUAUUUGGACUGAGAGAGGAGAAGAGCACCAGUAGUAGUGUGUUUGGCUUCAAUGCCAAAGAAAAAGUGUAAGGUACCAAGGUCUUUGAGAGGAUACAGAAAGUGGAGUUUAGAAAUCACAGACUGGAUUUCGGAGUUUGAGUUGCCUGUUAUUAUGAUAUCAUCAACAUAUAUCAGAAUGUAUGUGAUGAAUUUUGGUGUAGCCUGCACAAAAAGAGAUGUAUCACACCUAGCUGGCUUAAAACCAAAGGAAAUUAGACUGGAUGCCAGCUUGGAAAACCAAGCUCUUGGUGCCUGCUUAAGCCUAUAGAGAGAUUUCUUCAAUUUACAGACAAGAUGAGGAUUGGCAAAGACGAAGCCCUCUGGUUGCUGCAUAUAUACUUCUUCUUGAAUGGAACCAUUUAGGAAAACAUUGUUAAUGUCUACGUGUCGUAUAUACCAUUUUCUGGUGACAACAAUGCUCAAGACCGUUUGAAUGGUUGUUGGUUUAAUAACAGGACUGAAUGUCUCAUUAUAAUCAAGGCCUGGUCGUUGAGAAUACCCCUAAGCCACUAGUCUAGCUUUAUGUCUGGCUACAGAGCCAUCAACAUUGUAUUUCAGCCGAUAUAUCCAUUUAGAACCAAUAGCCUUCCUAUGAGGAGGCAAAGGGACGAGAUCCCAUGUUUUAUUUUGCAUGAGAGCCAUGUAUUCAUCCUUCAUUGCAGCUAACCAUUGAGGAUCUUGCAUAGCAUCCUUGGUACAUCUGGGAGUGAUCUUUUUCAGUAAAGCUUUGGGUUUAAAGACACCAGAUUUAGCUCGAGUAGUCAUAGGGUGAGCAUUGGUUGUAGGAGUAGGGUGAGGAGGUUGUUCAGGGAUAGAGUUGAUAGGGCCAGGAAUAGUAGGUGAAGUGGUAAUAGGAUUAGUUAAGGGAGUUGUGAUUUCAGCUGGUGUUUGAUUCGGAGGAAUGGUAGUAUUGAUUUUUGGUAUAGAGGGAGGGAGAGUAGAGAGAGUGGAGGGAACAAACGUAUUUUGAGCAAAAAGGAUGGGUUUGUUAUCAGAGGAUAUUGGGUUUCAUCAAAUAUGAUGUGCCUGACAGUGUACUCCUUUCCAGAGUUAGUGAUACAUUUAUAGCCUUUGUAUUUAGUGUUGUAGCCAAGGAAUAUGCAGGGGGUGGAUCGAAAAUCAAGUUUGGUUUUGGUGUAGGGUCGUAAAUAAGGAUAGAAAAGACACCCAAACGAUUUGAAAAUGGAGUAGUCAGGGGUUUUGUGAAAAAGAACCUCAAAGGGGGGCUUGUAGUUGAUCACCAGAGAGGGUAUGCGAUUGAUGAUGAAGGUGGCAGUGCUAAAUGCUUCUACCCAGAAUUUUGAAGGAAGGGAGGAAGCAGCUAACAAGGUGAGACCUGUUUCAGUCAAAUGGCGAUGUUUCCUUUCUGGGGCACCAUUCUGCUCAUGUGUAUGAGGACAUGAGAUGCGGUGUUGUAUUCCAUGAUCUGCAAGGUACUUAGUCAGCGCAAGGUACUCCUUGGCACCAUCAGUUUGCAGAGCUUUGAUCUUGGUAUUGAGUUGUAACUCUACCAUUGUUUUGAAUUGAAUGAAGACUGAUGGAACUUCUGACCUGUCUUGUAAAAAAUACAGCCAAGUGAAUUUACUAUGAGCAUCCAUAAACAGAAUAUAGUAUCUAUAGCCUUCUUUUGAAGGUAUGGGAGAGGAAUCCCAUAUAUCAGUGUAAAUCAAAUCAAGGGGAUAGUGAUAAAUGGAAUCAGAAACUAGAAAUGGUAAUUUAUGCACUUUGCCAAGACAACAUGCUUGGCACACUGAUUUAUUUUUUUCAGAACAUGGAAUACGACAAAGUUCAAGACAUAUUUGACAAUUUUAUUUGAACAAUGACCUAGCCUUCUAUGUUAGGUAUCAAAAUUAUUAGCACGAACAGUAGAAUUAAAGGCAAACAUAGGAGAUUUUAAUGUUGGAGAAAUGAGCUUCAGAUCUUCAAAGACAUAGAGUUUAUCCUUAAGGCGGCCUUUGAGAAGAACCUACUGAGUUUCCUGACAUUUAACCACACACUUGUUAGAAUGAAAUUCAAAGAAAACACCAUUGUCCUUUGCAAAUUGGGAAACAUAGAUAAGAUUUUUGGUUAUAUCAGGAACAUAUAACAGAUUUUGUAGGGUGAAAUGAAUAUUUGGAUUUUUUGAGUAAAAAGAUGAAUGUCUAGCAUGAGAAAUGGUUAGAGCAGUACCAUCUCCCACCUGCACACGAUCACCUCCAUUGUAUUCAUUUUUUACCAUGAGAUUGCCAAGAUCAUGUGUUAGAUGGUGGGUAGCACCGGUGUUCGGAUACCAAGAAUCAUCUAUGUGAUUUGUAGAGGCUGCAAGCAUAGCCUGAGCAGAGUGGUUGUUGGAGUCAUCAUUUUGGCUUUGGGUCGCAUGUAAGGUUGGUGCAGUGAGAUUUUCAUCAAAGCGAUACCAACAGUGAAACACAGAAUGAGCAACACGGCCACAAAGUUGACAUUGGAGCUUUGGACCACGACCUUGUGUGGAAAAGAUAGGGUUAUAUCUGUCAUCGCAUCCUCUGCCAUGAUUUCCUAAUAUGCCUGGACCACGGCCACAAGGAGUGUUGGGAAACCCUCUUCUUGAUUGAUUUUGACAAUGGACAGUGUGUGCUUGAAUAGGGGUGGUGUCCCUUUGUUUAUGAUGCUCCAAUCUUUCUUCUUGGUGCAUGAGAGAGGCUUUGAUUUGAGGAACAGUGAAAGGUUCGGAUCGGGUGAGACACGAAGAGAUGAGCCCAUCGUACUCCUCAAGAAGACCAUCAAAGAUCGCAUCAAUGUGUUCUUCAUCUGUUAAGGGAGAGCCGAUUGCACCAAGGGUUUUGACAAUCUUCUUGAUUUGGACCAAAUACUCGUUGAUUGAUCCAUGUUUCUUGAUGUUUCGAAGUUGAAUGCGAAGUUACUUGAUUCACGCUUUCAUUUGUGAAGAAAAAUAGGUUUUUAGAAUGGCCCAAAUUUCAUGCGACUAGACGCAGCCAACAAUGCGAACACGAAAUUGAUUAUCCAUCGAUUCCAAAAGCCAAUAUUUGAGAAGAUUAUCCUGCUGCUCGAAAUUAUCAUAGGCGGGAUUGACGAAAUCUUUCACCUCAUCUUCGUUGUUGAGAAACUUCGGGGGAAUUGUGUGACCCCCAGCGAUAUGCUGUUUCAAGCGGUAUCCUUUGAUGGUUGAUUCGAAUAUGCAUUUGAUUUUGCAUUGCACAAAUUUGCACAAAUUCUUUUUGCAUACAUUUGAGAUGUGAAGAUGAGAAUUCUUUAUAUACAGCUAGAUGUAACUACUUUAGCUAUAAAGAUGAAGUUUGUUAUAACAGCCUAUAGGAAGUUAUUUUCCUCUAUCCUUUACAGCAGAUAAAGAAACUAAAUACAAUAUAAAGUAAUAUCUUCCACCAGGUCCAUUUUGCUAAUAAAUGAUCGAAAGAGGAGAUGAAAGUGUAACAGUGCAGUCCAACAACAGAUGAAAAGAAACAUACAAAUCUCCAUACCUUCGGACUUCAGCUUUUGCAGCCAUUUGAUGGCCAUGAGUACCAUGUUCUUUCUCAAGCAAGCAAGGUUUGCAUUCAGGAACAGAGAAUCUGAUAGCCACCAGUUUUGACUUCGGAUCAACCCUUCACAUUUGAUAGACAUUUCAAUGAAAAGGAAGGGAAAACUACAUUUCUAUUAAAAAUUGGGGGUGGUGGUUGGAAAUGUGUACAUUUGUAAGUUUCUUGUGUAUUUUCCCUUCCCUAAAGAAUCUUCUGACAUAGUUAAUUAAAAUAUCAUGUAACUUUCAUCGUAAUUAACUCUCCUGAAGUUUGAACAAUUUUAUUUACAACAAGAUUUUGUAUUAUGUUAUUUUGUUUUUCAUGCCUUUUGUUCUACUUGAAUUCAGUAACCACCAUUCUCAGUGGACGGCCAUGUAAUCUACUUAGAUACCAAAUAUCUAGGGGAUUUAAAUAAGGUAAGAGAAAGACUUUUUUCUCUUAGUCAAAAGAUAAAGGUAUAAUCCUAAUAUCAGAAAGUAUUUUUUAUUAGAUGAAAGAUAAGAUAAAUAUAAUAUUUUCCUAUUUACAUUAUCUUGAAGAAGAAAAUUGAGAUUAGAUAAUCGAAUCUCUCUCUGUGUAUAUGAGACCAUUGAUACUCAAGUAAAAUAUUUUGAUUCCAACUGAUAUACUAUUGUGUGCAUACCUCUGUGCCUCUAACUUUAGUGUUAGAGUGUCUUUGUAAGUAUUCCCCCCUCCCUCACCGUGAGCAACCUCUUGUCAAAUCCGGUAAGAACAUUUGACACCCAUCGUGAGACGAGGGAAAACUUUUCCUUCGACCACAUUAUCAUCAAUGCUGCAAAUGGUGACAACACCUCUGUAGCCAACCAGAGACUACCACCACUGGGGCAGGCGGCCAACUUGUUUGGCAUGCCCGCCAUAGGAACCCCUGAAAAUGAGAUCCCAACAACCAUGGUGAAGAUCCUGUGUCAGGUGCUUAACGAUCAUUCCUUGAUCGUCAUCUUGCAAAAAGAGAUGAAUGCCAUGAAGCAACAGAAUACUCAAGAGGUGGAAUACCUCCAAAAGGAGAAUGUUGUCCUUCGGGAACAAUACUAGAAGCUCUCACAGGACAACAACAUGCAUUUGAUCUCGGUAGCUGGCCCCCAUAAGACUCAUAUGCCUAAGAUCGAUGAAGUCGACAAGACGUAGAGGGAAAGAACUCUAUCGGUCACUCAGUUGGUCCAUAGAGUGGAGCAUCGGCUCCACCCUUUUGUAGAUGACAUCAUGUAAACACCUCUACCACCUGAAUGUAAAAUGUUGACAAUGGAUAAAUACGACGGACUCUCAAACCUGGAUGAACACGUUGAUACAUUUGUCACCCAGAUGAACCUAUUCACGAAUGAUGGCGCCAUCAUGUCCCGAGUAUUCCCGAUAACCCCAAGGGGAGCAACACUUCAUUGGUAUACCUAUCUACUGAAAAACUUGAUAGACUCCUUGCAAUGCAGAUUACACGUUUCGGAGCCCAAGAUGCAACAAGCCGCUUGUACCACCUGACUGUAGUGGCACUUGCAAACAUUCAGCAAGACGAGGAAGAGUCACUCAGCGACUUCAUGGAGAGAACUACAAUUUUUUUUAAAAAAAAACGUGAAUUUGAAUAGCCAAUUGAUAAUCUUUGAUCCCAGCUUCUCCAUCAUUCUCAACUAUGGGCAAUUUGACAUAUUGUUAGUUCUUGUUGAGACCAUUAUGUUGAUGGUUUUAAAAUUCCAGCUUAUUGUCUCAUAUGAACAUGUUGAGUUAAUCUUUUAUGUUCAUCAAACAUUCCUUAAGCUUUUUAAAUGAAUUAAGGAACCAUCGACAGUCGAGGCUAUUCAUUGACGUUUACAAUAAGUGACUUAAAGUGACAUCAUUUCAAAACAAAUCCAAAAUUUCCAAGUUAGAGGAGGCAAAGGAAAACAUGAAGCUUUAAGGAUAAAGGAAAUGUUGCGGUAUAAUUGAUGUCUGAUUUCAGAGUAAUAUAGGUUUUGUCCUAUUGUCUUUGACGCUUGUGGAUAUUAUAAAUUGCAAUUUAAAAUGGUAGCAAGUUCACUUCCUAAGAAUUUUCUGUUUCAGGUUUUAAUAACUCUUACUAAAAGGGAUUUCUCUGAGGCGUGUUUUGUAUUGUGGGCAAAGUUUUAAAAUUUUAACUCCGUUGUUCAUCAAUUUCUAGCUCAUAACAAAUUGAAGGCCUUAGCUAAACAUACAUAGCGUACAUAUUAAUUUACAACACAUAAAAUAUGAAACAAAAAGCAGUGGACUUUUGAACUCCAUAUGGCUUAUAUUAUAGAGCUAUAUGCCGAUAUCAAUAAUUUUAACCAAUAAUCUCAGCUUUUUCUUCCCUAAACUUAUGCAUUUUUAUGAUAAACAGAGACAUUUAUUGUGACACCCUCUACCCUCACAAAUAUAAAUAAAUAACUAAAUAAAUCAUACAAAAUUUAUUUAAAAGUUUAUAAACACAUAAUAAUAAAAGAAGAAAAAAACAUGCAAAAUUAAUUAAUAAUUUUUUUUAAACACAUUUAAUUUAAAUCAAUUCAAAAGGAUAAAAGGUUUACAUCCACUUAGUGAAAACAUAAUAGAAUUUUUUUUUGAAUAAAAGAUAAAAUUAUCCCGACUCAAAACAAGUCCGUCCAUUCUAAAUAAAUAAUAAAAAAAAACUAAAAUAGAAAAGUAUAACACAAUUAUAUCAUUCAGUAAAUCAUAACAUGCGAAGUAAAAUCCUAUGCCACAAUGUCACACUUAUCAGAGCAUAUCCCUAUCACAGACUAAGUCUCUCCAUCUUUAGCAUGUGACUCAUCAUAUGAAGGCUCACCUGAAACAAAGUGGCAAUCAGCCCAAACACAAACACACACCGGGAGUGAGUUAUCACAUUCGUAUAUAAUAAAACAUUAGAGCAUGUGAAACAUAUAAUACUUAAAGCUGAAUUUAUAUAAAUAACAUUACUUCACAACAUCGCACACAUUAUUCACACCCAUUCAAGUUCACACACUCCAUAAAAUAACAUCAACCACAAUUGUUAACUCAAUGAAAUUCAAACACAAGCGUUAUGCAACAAUUAUACUAAGACUCAAGCCUAUAUGCAAUGUGGUAUCAUGUCAAUGAAAAACAACAUUGAGGCGCUUAGGAGUACAUGACAAGACACACCACACAAUGGGUAUACUCGGUCACUCUCAUUAAGUAACAUCAUAAGGUGACCAGUCAGGGUUACUCUGUUUUGCGAGAAUGCCCCAACCACAUGAGAUCAACAUGGGCUUAAAGGAACACUCAAACCGAGUAUCUUUACCCCCAAGGCCUAAACUCCGAAGAAUCCAUUUGGACCUCACCUUCUUGAUUCAGGUCCAACCCCUAAAAUAAUUUUUUUUUCUUUUGCACGCAAACACUGUUCAUGAGUUAUAUAAUACCCACGACCUCACUCUUAUAUUUCAAACAUAUUUAACAAAUUGUGCUACAGUUUAACGCUUCAGGAUCCUAACUAGGAAUCCUACAAUUUCCUUUAACACUGCGCAUAAAUGUUCUCUCAAGGUAAACACUGGUCGGGUUACUGUAUAACUCAACUCACAAGACAAAUAAUAGCACUAAAAAUAUCAAUCACACACUCAUUUCACAACCAUAUUUCAUGUCUACAAUUUAACAUUUCACACUUUAACUAAUUACAAAAUAUACUUAACAAUUAAAUAACUAUGUAUCAUAAUAAUAAUAACAUACAAUAUUUACCUUCAAUACUUAUAAAUUAUAUAUUAACUUAAGCGGUACAUUAACUUUUCAGCAUAAAUGUACAUCAAUAUAAAUAUAAUAUAAUAAAACAUUAACGUUAAUGUACAUAUUAUAUUAUAUAUAUAUAUAUAUAUAUAUAUAUAUAUAUAUAUAUAUAUAUAUAUAACAUAUAAAAUGUAUUAAGUAUAUAUUAAUAUAAAAUAAUCACACAAUAAUAUCAAACAUAUCAUUAAGUAAAUACAAAUUAUAUAUAACAAUAAAAUAUAUACUCAUAUUGAUUUAUAUGAACAACAUGUAUACCUAUAUACUAAACAUAUUUCAACUAAGUUACUAACAUCAAGAAAAUGCCUAAUACAGCUUUAGUUAAUUUCUUUAAAUGAUUUUAGCUAAUUCAAUUAUCCAACAAUCCCUACACAUAUGAAUUUCAUGACGAAAAAUCACCCAGGUGAAAUAAAAUAUAAAGUUUGUGAAAUAAGAGCAUCAAUAUAUAUGUACACGUAUACACUGCGGUGUGGGAAAAAAAUAAAAAUAAAAUGAACAAGAUUGAAAGGCCAAGAUAUCUGGUAUAAACAAAAUCACCAUCACACAAUUUUUAUACUAAUUAUAAAGAAUUCUAAUUCCUAAGGUACACACCUAACACAGGAACACAUCAAUUCUACAACAAACUCACAUCAGAACACCAAUUAGUUCAUCAAACACACUCAAUCCGCGAUUAAACAUAAAAACAUAAUUAAACUUCAUAAACACCCAAAAAUAACCCAAAAAUUCAUCCUCUAGGGAUCUCUACAAAUGUUCAUUCUAAUCCCCAAGUGUGAGUAACUCAUCCCUUACCUUGAUGUAGUCGCUUAAAUGUUCUCCGUUAGCAAUUGUGGCAUCUCUAGUGCUCUCUAGAGCUCCUCCUCUGAUUGCUCUGUUAGGAUUUUUGUGCGUCAGAAGAAAGGAACAAAAUGUGUUUUCUAAAAGCUGCUCUAGGUUAACAUUUGGUUUAUAUAGUGGGAAUUUAUGACCUAAAUUUUUUUACUUAUUUAUUUAUUUAUUUAUUUAUUUAUUAAAAGUUACGGCUGUUACAUUUAUUGUGCCUAAUAGAUUAAAGGUUUCUUCUUCUUUCACAAUUCAAGGUACCUCCAUUACUUGUUUUUAACUGCCACUACCUUGGUAUAGGGCAAUCCUUACAUCUUAAAUAUGUUUCUUAAAUAUGUAGUAAUAUCAUUUAUUAGAUAGUAUUUUAACAAUGGUCAAUAUAUCAUUAAUAUUAAUCAUUAUCAUUAAUACCUUGUAUAAUAAUUGUGUUAUUAGCUCAAAAAUUGGUCAUAUAUUUAGAUUUACUAAUAUUUUCUGAUUAACCGUGAAAAUUUCCACUACAAUUAGUACUAAAAUUUACCUCAGGCAUUCUUAAAUCUGAAUGCAUUGAUUUUUUUGGAAUUUAUAAAUUGUAAGACAAAAUUAAACGUGAGAGAAACAUUCUAAAGAAUGUAUGAAUGCAUGAAAGACUUAGAAAACAAAAUAGCGUAUAUGGAUCUUUUGGCUGACAAAAAAAGAAAAGAAAGAAAAAGCAUAUCUGGAUCUAAUUAAUUUUCGAAAUCUUUAAGUUGAUAAACUAAAAACAGGUUUGUAAAUAAAAGUUGUUGGUUUAAUUUGAGGAAAAAAUGUAAGAGAGAAGGGAAAAUAAUAGAGAAGAAUGUGGGUUUUAAGUUGAAACCACUGAACAAUUUUUUAUUGAAUAAAUUUCAUAUUCAAAUACAUUUAAAUAACUGUUUGAUAAUUCAAAAACAGAAUCAAAAAAUAAUUUAAAAUUCAAAAUCAACUUAUUCACUAAUAGCACAAUAACAAAUUCUUAUCAAUUGAAUAGUUCAAAUUAAAAAUAAAAAAGUCUUGACAACAUCUAAGGCAUGUUCAACAACACUCCUUUCUUUGUCAGAAAUUCCUUUCUUCUUCAUAAAUUCAACAUGUUGAUUUACAUUGCUAAAAAACUAUUGCUUCCUUCACAUGUGAUUGAGUCUUGACAUUUUCAGCUUUUAGGUUCUUAGACUUUAAACUUUGCUCAUUCUGCUCAAUUAUUUCAUCAUUCUCUCUCAAGUGUAUCUUCUUAUUUGUAUGCUCUUGUGCAAUAGUUAUAAUUUUUUCUUUAGUUGAACUACUUUGGAACUUAGGGGCUGCUAUUUUAGAAUUUGUUUGUUUUUCUUUAGCUUUUGUGAGACAAUUCAGUGAUAUUUUCUUUUAUUGAAAAAAUAAUUUGUUCAUUCUCCAAUGGAUUUAAAGCAAAAAUUUUCCAUCUCACUUUUACUUUGAGAAUAUCCUUGUUUUAAAAUUUACAAUAUGUUUAUAUGCUCUCUCCUACUCCCAAAUUCGUUCUCUCUUCUUUCUCUCUAAAACCCUAUCGUUUUCUUGCAUACACCAAAACCUAUUCUUGUAAAACUAUAAUAUUGGACUAGUUAACCGUUAGAUUGUCCUUAAAUUUGGACACCAACUUAGGAACUCAUUCUGUUGGGAUUUGUGAAAUAAUGUCUUUAGAGAGGGAAAUGUCCCUCGUGUGACACCCUCUGAUACCACUAAAUGUGACACUCUCUACCCUUACAAUUAUAACUAACUAAUUAAAUAAAUAAUACAAAAUUUAUUUAAAAGAUUAUAAACACAUAAUAAUAAAAGAAGGAAAAAAAAACAUGCAAAAUUAAUUAAUAAUUUUUCUUUUUAAACACAUUUAAUUUAAAUCAAUUCAAAAGGAUAAAGGUUCACAUCCACUUAGUGAAAACAUAAUAGAUUUUUUUUUUAAUAAAAGGUAAGAUUAUCCCGGCUCAAAACAAGGUCGUCCACUCUAAAUAAAUAAUAAAAAGAAACUAAAGUAAAAAAGUAUAACGCAAUUAUAUUAUUCAGUAAAUCAUAACAUGUGAAAAUCAUAAUAUGCGAAGUAAAAUCCUAUGCCCCAAUGUCACACUUAUCAGAGCAUAUCCCUAUCACAGACUAAUUCUCUCCAUCUCUAGCAUAUGACUCAUCAUAUGAGGGCUCACCUGAAACAAAGUGGCAAUCAGCCCAAACACAAACACACAUCGGGAGUGAGUUAUCACAUUCGUAUAUAAUAAAACAUUAGAGCAUCUGAAACAUAUAAUACUUAAAGCUGAAUUUAUAUAAAUAACAUUACUGCACAAAAUUGCACACAUUAUUCUCACCCAUUCAAGUUUACACACUCCAUAAAAUAACAUCAACCACAAUUGUUAACUCAAUGAAAUUCAAACACAAGCGUUAUGCAACAACAAUUAUACUAAGACUCAAGCCUAUAUGCAAUGUGGUACCAUGUCAGUGAAAAACAACACUGGGGCGCUUAGGAGUACAUGACAAAGCACACCACACAAUGGGUAUACUCGGUCACUCUCACUAAGUAACAUCAUAAGGUGACCAGUCAGGGUUACUCUAUUUUGCGAGAAUGCCCCAACCACAUGGGAUCAACAUGGGCUUAAAGGAGCACUCAAACCGAGUAUCUUUACCCCCAAGGCCUAGACUCUGAAGAAUCCAUUUGGGCCUCACCUUCCUGAUUCAGGUCCAACCCCUAAAAUAUUUUUUUUUUUGCACGUAGACACUGUUUAUGAGUUAUAUAAUACCCACGACCUCACACUUAUAUUUCAAACAUAUUUAACAAAUUGCGCUAUAGUUUAACCCUUCAGGAUCCUAACUAGGAAUCCAAUAAUUUCCUUUAACACUGCGCAUAAAAGUUCUCUCAAGGUAACACUGGUCGGGUUACUGUAUAACUCAUAACUCACAUGACAAGUAAUAUCACUACAAAUAUCAAUCACACACUCAUUCACAACCAUAUUUCAUGUCUAGAGUUUAACAUUUCACACUUUAACUAAUUACAAAAUAUAUUCAACAAUUAAAUAACAAUAUAUCAUAACAAUAAUAACAUACAAUAUUUAACUUCAAGGCUUAUAAACAGAUAACUAUAAAAUACACGUAAAAUAUAAAUAUAUAUAUAUAUAUAUAUAUAUAUAUAACAUAUAAAAAGUAUUAAAUAUAUAUUAAUAUAAAAUAAUCACAUUAAUAUCAAAUAUAUCAUUAAGUAAAUACAAAUUAUAUAUAACAAUAAAAUAUAUACUCUUAUUGAUUUCUAUGAACAACAUGUAUACCUAUAUUCUAAAUAUAUUUCAACUAAGUUACCAACAUCAAGAAAAUGCCUAAUUACAACAUGAAUACAACUUUAGUUAAUUUCUUUAAAUGAUUUUAGCCAGUUCAAUUAUCCAACAAUCCCUACACAUGAAUUUCAUGAUGAGAAAUCACCUACAUGAAAUAAAAUAUAAAGUUUGUAAAAAAAAAAAAAAGCAGUAUCAAUAUAUAUGUACACGUAUACACUGCGGUGCGAAAAAAAAUAAAAUAAAAAAAUAAAAAGAACAAGAUUGAAAGGCCAACAUAUCUGGUAUAAACAAAAUCACCACCACACAAUUUUUAUGCUAAUUAUAAAGAAUUCUAAUUUCUAAGGUACACACCUAACACAGGAACACAUCAAUUCUACAACAAACUCGCAAUAGAACACCAAUUGGUUCAUCAAACACACUCAAUCCGCGAUUAAACAUGAAAACAUAAUUAAAUUCAUAAACACUCCAAAAUAACCCAAAAAUUGAUCCUCUAGGGAUCCAUACACAUGUUCAUUCUAAUUCUCAAGCGUGAGUAACUCAUCCCUUACCUCGAUGUAGUCGCUUAAAUAUUCUCUGUUAGCAAUGGUGGCGUCUCUGGUGCUCUCUAGAGCUCUUCCUCUGGUUGCUCUAUUAGGGUUCUUGUGCGUCAGAAAAGAAGAAAGGAACAAAAUGUGUUUUCUAAAAAGCUGCUCUAGGUUAACAUUUGGCUUAUAUAGUGGGAAUUUAUGACCUAAUAAUUUUUUAUUUUAUUUUUACUUAUUUAUUUAUUUAUUAAUUUAUUAAUUUCUUAUUUACUUAUUAAAGUUACGGCUGUUACAAUUCCACCCCCCCUUAAAAAAAAGUUUUGCCCCUGAAACUUACCGGUAUCGAAUAAGGUAGGAUAUGCAUCACGCAUCUGACCCUCUAGUUCCCAGGUGGCAUCCUCACCCGAAGCACUUCCCCAUACUACUUUGACCAAGGGAAUCUCUUUCCCCCUUAGCUGCUUAACCAUACGAUCGUCGAUCCUCAGUGGUUGUGUUUCAUAUGUGAAGUUCUCUUUCACUUGGACAUUGUCUAAUUCGAUCACGUGCGACGGAUCAUGGACAUAUUUUCUGAGUUGAGAGAUAUGGAAGACACUGUGGAGAUUUGAGAGAGAUGGUGGCAAAGCCACUUGAUACGCAAUUGGGCCGACACGCUUUAGGAUUUCAAAGGGACCAAUGAAUCUAGGUGUGAGCUUACGGGACUUCAACGCCCUACCAACCCCAGUCCACGGAGUGACUCUCAGAAAUACAUGAUCACCUAUAGCAAAUUCAAGAUCCUUUCUUCUCUUAUCAUAGUAGCUCUUCUGCCUACUUUGGGCUGCUCUCAUCCUUUCUUGGAUCAACUUGACCUUUUCAGUGGUCUGCUGAACUACCUCAGGUCCUAAGGUAAUGCUCUCACUGGAAUCUACCCAACAUAAAGGUGUCCUACAUCUUCUACCAUACAAUGCCUCGUAAGGCGCCAUACCUAUACUAGAGUGAAAACUAUUGUUGUAUGUAAACUCUAUCAAGGGUAAGAAACUAUCCCAACUACCCCUCUGCUCUAACACACAGGUUCUCAAGAGGUCCUCUAAGGAUUGGAUGGUGCGCUCGGUUUGACCGUCAGUCUGUGGGUGGUAAGCAGAACUCAACCUAAGCUUGGUCCCCAAGGCUUUAUGAAGACUCUCCCAAAAUCUAGAGGUAAAUCUGGGAUCUCUAUCAGAGACUAUGCUAGAAGGAACACCGUGUAGUCUAACUAUCUCACUGACGUAAAAGCUAGUCAACCUCUCUAAAGAAUAUCUGAUGUUAAUUGGAAUGAAGUGAGCAGAUUUGGUCAACCUGACUACAAUAACCCAAAUGGAAUCUAAACCUUUGGGGGUUCUAGGUAACCCCACCACGAAAUCCAUGGAGAUGCUAUCCCACUUCCACUCAGGUACCUCUAAAGGUUGCAACUUCCCUGAAGGCUUAUGGUGUUCUAUCUUAGCUUUCUGACACACUAGGCAUGCAAGGACAAACUCAUUAACUUCUUUCUUCAGACCUGGCCACCAAAAAAUCUGCCUAAGGUCUUGGUACAUCUUAGUCGCUCCCGGGUGGAUACUCAGACUACUUCUAUGGCCCUCUUCCAAAAUCGUUCUUCUAAGUUUGGGUACACUAGGAACACACACCCUAUCUUGAAACCUCAAGACUCCAUCAGUUCCCACUCUAAAACUACUCUCUCUCCUUGUGACUAUGGACUCUAACUGGGCUGACAAGAAUGGGUCAGACUUCUGACCCUCACGGAUCUCGCUCAAGAGUUCGCUGGGGACUCUCAACAUACCCAACUUAAUGCUACUAGAGGUGAUCUCACAUGUCAAACUCAUGUCUCUAAACUGCUCUAAGAGGUCCAACUCUCUAACCAUCAAAGCAGACAUUUGAAGGGAUUUCCUACUUAAGGCAUCUACUACUACAUUGGCUUUACUUGGGUGAUAGCUAAGCUCAAAAUCGUAAUCCUUAAGGAACUCUAACCAUCUCCUCUGCCUCAUGUUAAGCUCUUUUUGAUCAAACAAAUAUCUAAGGCUCUUAUGGUCACUAAACACCUCAAAUUUAGAUCCAUAAAGGUAAUGCCUCCAAAGCUUAAGAGCAAAAACUACGGCUGCUAACUCAAGAUCGUGUGUAGGAUAAUUUCUUUCAUGUAUCUUAAGCUGUCGAGAAGCAUAGGCCACUACCUGUCCCCGUUGCAUAAGCACUCCACCCAAACCCAUCUUGGACACAUCACAAUACACCACAAAAGGUUCACUCGGGUCAGGUAACACUAAAACUGGUGUAGUGGUUAACCUUUCCUUAAGGGUACAGAAACUUCUCUCACACUGGGCAUCCCACACAAAAACUUGACCCUUACAAGUAAGAUUAGUCAAAGGUAAGGCAAGCUUAGAAAAACCCUCUAUGAAUCUACGAUAGUAUCCUGCUAAGCCAAGAAAGCUUCUAAUCUCAAACAUUGACUUAGGACUCUCCCAACUCAUCACCGCCUCUACCUUGGAAGGAUCUACUGCUAUCCCUCCCUUAGAUAUAAUGUGCCCUAAGAAGCUCACCUCCUCUAGCCAAAAAUCACACUUGGACAACUUAGCAUACAGUCUAUUGUCUUUAAGGGUUUGCAACACAACUCUCAAAUGCUCCUCAUGUUCCUCUCUAGUCUUAGAAUACACUAAGAUAUCAUCUAUGAAGACCACUACAAAACUAUCUAGGUAGGGGUGAAAGAUCCUAUUCAUAUAAUCCAUGAACACACCAGGGGCGUUGGUCACACCAAAAGGCAUAACCAAGUACUCAUAAUGACCGUAACGGGUCCUAAAGGCAGUCUUCGAAACAUCUUCAGGCUUCACUCUAAUCUGGUGGUAACCUGACCUAAGAUCUAUCUUACUGAACACACAAGCCCCUACUAAUUGGUCCAUCAAGUCAUCUAUCCUAGGCAAAGGGUACCUAUUCUUAAUCGUUACCUUAUUCAACUGACGAUAAUCUACACAUAGCCUCAUGGUCCCAUCCUUCUUCUUAACUAACAACACCGGUGCUCCCUAGGGUGACACACUAGGCCUCACAAACUGUUUCUCUAAGAGUUCCUCUAACUGUUUCUUAAGCUCACUUAACUCUACAGGGGACAUCCUAUAAGGUGCUAUGGAUAUGGGUCAAGUACCGGGCACUAGGUCUAUCGAGAACUCGACCUCUCUCUCAGGUGGUAAUCCUGACACCUCCUCAAACACCUCUGGAAACUCUCUCACCAAUGGUAUAUCACUCACAGGGGUUUUGGUCUCAACACUCAUACUAGCUAAGAUCAUGUAUACCUGUGCAUCCUCCCUUAAAGAUGCCUCAACUUGGUUAGCAGACAAAAACAUAUCACCUUCACUCACACCAGACUCAGGAAAGACAAUAGAUUUCUCAAAACAAUUUAAUAAGACAUGAUUGGAAGAUAACCAGUCCAUACCAAGAAUAACAUCAAUCUGACUCAAAGGUAGAACAACUAAGUCAAUAAGAAAUUGUCUAUCAGAAAUUAAGACAGGACAUUGCAAACACACAUCAGAAGUUAAAACAGACCCACUAGUAGGUGUAUUCACAAUCAUGUCAAAUUUCAAGGAAGACAUAGGCAAGGCAAGUUUUUCAACACAGACACGAGAAAUAAAUGAAUGGGUCGCACCUGAAUCAUACAAUACAACCAAGGGAACUUGACUUAUGAAACACAUACCUUGGAUGAGUUCAUCAGACUGUGCGGCAUCAGCACCACUAAGAGCAAACACUCUCCCUGUGGUCCUUGGUCGUCCACUUUGGUUAUUCAGACUUCCACUCCUCUUCUCCCUCCUCGGAUAUGGGCAACUGGUACUGAGGUGGCCCUUACCUUGGUAGUUAAAGCAAGUCACCUCUCUAUCUGUGCACUCACGAGCAAUAUGCCCAAGUCGACCACAUUUCCCACACCUGAGUGGUGUAGUAACAAUAGCAGGAGCACCACUACCACCACUACUUCUACCCGCAGACUGAGACACCCUGUUAAUUGGCUGAGAACUCCCACCAACUAGUUGAAGUCCUCCACUGGUCCUCUGUCCUCCAGAAUGGUUUCCAUAUUUCCCGGGAGGGGCAGAAUAUGGCUUAGCACGAUUGUGAGUCACAAGCUUCUUAUCUUUCCCAUGACUAGCAUUGGCAUUCCUGUAAAAAGCAAUCUUCUCCCGCUGAUCUUCAUCAAAGAUUCUACACAUGUUGGUCAACUGUGCAAAGUUAUGAAUACCGUGAUAAUUUACAAUCAUCUUUACUUCUGGUCGAAGGCCAUUGACAAAUUUCACGCAUUUGGACCUCUCCCCAGCUUCCCCCUGAUAAUGAGGAAAAUACCUUACAAGGUUCUCAAACCUCGCCGCACACUCUGCCACCAUCAUACUUUCCUGUUUCAGCUCGAGAAACUCCAUCUCCUUCCUAUUCUUCACAUCUUCUGGAAACUACUUCUCCAGAAAAUUUUGUCUGAAAGUCUCCCAUUGGACAACAACACCACCUGCUCCCUCUAAACGUCGGCGAGUGUUCUCCCACCAGUACUCCGCCUCAUCUGCUAGCAUGUGAGUAGCAAACAACACCUUCUGAUGGUCCUGACACUCCAUCACCCGGAAGAUCUUCUCAAUCUCCCUCAGCCAAGCCUCAGCACCCUCAGGAUCAUAACCCUCUUUGAAAGUAGGUGAGUUGUUCCUCUAAAAGCGAUCUAACCCAUGGUACAUAGUUGUUCCUCCACCGCCUCCCUGAUUGGCCAUAACUUGCGCCAAGUUGUUCAAGGCCUCGGUAAGAAGUCAUUCUCGCUCAUUUCUCGCAGCCAUUACUUCCUAUGUCAUGCAAGAAACAAAACUUUGAAGAAAAAAAAUAAAAAUAUACCAACGCAAUAGAGUACACCUCUAAUCAAACAAAACAAACACAACACAUCAGGGUACACAAGGAAACACAGAAAGCUCAUAACACACAUGGCCGAAAGGUUCGACCUGCUCUGAUACCACUAAAUGUGACACCCUCUACCCUUACAAUUAUAACUAACUAAUUAAAUAAAUCAUACAAAAUUUAUUUAAAAGAUUAUAAACACAUAAUAAUAAAAGAAGGAAAAAAAACAUGCAAAAUUAAUUAAUAAUUUUUCUUUUUAAACACAUUUAAUUUAAAUCAAUUCAAAAGGAUAAAGGUUCACAUCCACUUAGUGAAAACAUAAUAGAUUUUUUUUUUAAUAAAAGGUAAGAUUAUCUCGGCUCAAAACAAGGCCGUCCACUCUAAAUAAAUAAUAAAAAGAAACUAAAGUAGAAAAUUAUAACGCAAUUAUAUUAUUCAGUAAAUCAUAACAUGUGAAAAUCAUAAUAUGCGAAGUAAAAUCCUAUGCCCCAAUGUCACACUUAUCAGAGCAUAUCCCUAUCACAGACUAAUUCUCUCCAUCUCUAGCAUGUGACUCAUCAUAUGAGGGCUCACUUGAAACAAAGUGGCAAUCAGCCCAAACACAAACACACACCGGGAGUGAGUUAUCACAUUCGUAUAUAAUAAAACAUUAGAGCAUCUGAAACAUAUAAUACUUAAAGCUGAAUUUAUAUAAAUAACAUUACUGCACAAAAUCGCACACAUUAUUCACACCCAUUCAAGUUUACACACUCCAUAAAAUAACAUCAACCACAAUUGUUAACUCAAUGAAAUUCAAACACAAGCGUUAUGCAACAACAAUUAUACCAAGACUCAAGCCUAUAUGCAAUGUGGUACCAUGUCAGUGAAAAACAACAUUGGGGCGCUUAGGAGUACAUGACAAAGCACACCACACAAUGGGUAUACUCGGUCACUCUCACUAAGUAACAUCAUAAGGUGACCAGUCAGGGUUACUCUGUUUUGUGAACCACAUGAGAUCAACAUGGGCUUAAAGGAGCACUCAAACCGAGUAUCUUUACCCCCAAGGCCUAGACUCCGAAGAAUCCGUUUGGGCCUCACCUUCCUGAUUCAGGUCCAACCCCUAAAAUAUUUUUUUUUUGCACGUAGACACUGUUUAUGAGUUAUAUAAUACCCACGACCUCACACUUAUAUUUCAAACAUAUUUAACAAAUUGCGCUAUAGUUUAACCCUUCAGGAUCCUAACUAGGAAUCCUACAAUUUCCUUUAAGACUGCGCAUAAAAGUUCUCUCAAGGAAAACACUGGUCGGGUUACUGUAUAACUCAUAACUCACAUGACAAGUAAUAUCACUACAAAUAUCAAUCACACACUCAUUUACAACCAUAUUUCAUGUCUAGAGUUUAACAUUUCACACUUUAACUAAUUACAAAAUAUACUCAACAAUUAAAUAACAAUAUAUCAUAACAAUAAUAACAUACAAUAUUUAACUUCAAGGCUUAUAAACAGAUAACUAUAAAAUACACGUAAUAUAUAUAUAUAUAUAUAUAUAUAUAUAUAUAUAUAUAUAUAUAUAUAUAUAUAUAUAUAUAACAUAUAAAAAGUAUUAAAUAUAUAUUAAUAUAAAAUAAUCACAAUAAUAUCAAAUAUAUCAUUAAGUAAAUAUAAAUUAUAUAUAACAAUAAAAUAUAUACUCUUAUUGAUUUCUAUGAACAACAUGUAUACCUAUAUUCUAAAUAUAUUUCAACUAAGUUACCAACAUCAAGAAAAUGCCUAAUUACAACGUGAAUACAACUUUAGUUAAUUUCUUUAAAUGAUUUUAGUCAGUUCAAUUAUCCAACAAUCCCUACACAUAUGAAUUUCAUGACAAUCCCUACACAUAUGAAUUUCAUGACGAGAAAUCACCCACAUGAAAUAAAAUAUAAAGUUUGUAAAAAAAAAACAGUAUCAAUAUAUAUGUACACGUAUACACUGCGGUGUGAAAAAAAAUAAAAAUAAAAAUAAAAAUAAAAUAAAAAGAACAAGAUUGAAAGGCCAACAUAUCUGAUAUAAACAAAAUCACCACCACACAAUUUUUAUGCUAAUUAUAAAGAAUUCUAAUUUCUAAGGUACACACCUAACACAGGAACACAUCAAUUCUACAACAAACUCGCAACAGAACACCAAUUGGUUCAUCAAACACACUCAAUCCGCGAUUAAGCAUGAAAACAUAAUUAAAUUCAUAAACACCCCAAAAUAACCCAAAAAUUGAUCCUCUAGGGAUCCCUACACAUGUUCAUUCUAAUCCCCAAGCGUGAGUAACUCAUCCCUUACCUCGAUGUAGUCGCUUAAAUAUUCUCUGUUAGCUAUGGUGGCGUCUCUGGUGCUCUCUAGAGCUCCUCCUCUGGUUGCUCUGUUAGGGUUCUUAUGCGUCAGAAAAGAAGAAAGGAACAGAAUGUGUUUUCUAAAAAACUGCUCUAGGUUAACAUUUGGCUUAUAUAGUGGGAAUUUAUGACCUAAUAAUUUUUUAUUUUAUUUUUACUUAUUUAUUUAUUUAUUAAUUUAUUAAUUUAUUAAUUUCUUAUUUAAUUAUUAAAGUUACGGCUAUUACACCUCGCAAGGAGACAAUAAAAUUGAGGCUUCAAUCCCUUCUUUUUCUCCCUAACGUUUGUAUAUCCUAGUAGAGAAAACAUAGGGAAAACUUGAGGAAUCUCAUGGAAUCUCUAGAGACUCCACUAUUGCUGCUAGACUACACACGUGAGGCCACUUAGAUGUGACAGAUAAGUUUAUCGCAAUUGGUGUUAGAAUGAACAUGUAUAGGGAUUUUUAGAGGAUCAAAUUGAGAUUUAUUUUGGGAUGUUUAAUGUAUUAUAAUUUUGACUUUAUGAUUAUAAUCACGAGAUUAUGUUUGACGGGCUAAUUCAUGCCCUAAUGUGAAUUGGUUGAUAAAAUUAAGUAUUCUUGGUGUUUUCGUGUUUUUGAACCUGUGAUUUUAAUUCCUUUGAUUUUGAUAUGAUUAUGUGAAAUUAUUUAAGGGGUUUUACUCCCUAUGUUGUGAGAAAAAAUUGUGUAUAAUUCGUUUGUAUUUUGAACAAGAUUUACUAGAUUAACGUGAGAAUUAGAUUGUUGGAAACAUUCUUUGUCAUGUUUUGGCCUCAUAAGCUUAUUUCGUGUUGGUGAUUAUAACACACACACACACACGCACGCACACACACACACACACAUUCAAAUAAUAAAUUUAAAUUAAAGGAAAUUAAUAUAUUAAGAUUUAACGAUAAAUACCUUCAAUGCAUUUUUAGUUUAAUUAUUUACUAACUCUUUUUAAUUGAAAAUAAUAUAGUCUGAUUUAAUAUAUACAUGUUUUGUGUCAUGUAAAUAUUAAUAUUGUGUGAUGUUUAUUUAAUUCAUGAGGUGUGAUAACAUGUUGUAUUGGAAUUAUAACAUUGUAAUUCAGAUUCGUCAUAUGUGAUAAAUUGAGUAUGUGUUGAAUUGUAAGAUACAUGUGUAUUGAGAUUUUGUGCGCAUUGAGUUAUGAGCUAUAAAUUGUUCAAUCACACAACUAUAAGAACCUUUAAGGGCAAUGAGUUAAUGCGUGAUGAGUAUUGUGAUGGGAUCUACUGUGGGAACCCGACGAGUUGAAUCACUUUAAGGCGCAACAAGUUAAAAUGAUUUUGAAAACAAUUGAGUGGUUAUGCGUAUUGCAUAGUUUUAAACUCCAGUGGCACAUGUGUGAUUUUAAAUGCCUAUUUUAAUGAUACAAUUAGUCAUAUGAACAUAACAUAUUGAUAUUAUUACUAUGUGAUAUGUAUAUGAUGCAUGAGGCGUGAUAACGUGAUGUCUUGAGAUUAUGAAAGUGUGACGAACUAUGUAUAAGUGACAAGUUGAGUAUGUGUUAAAUUAUGAGAUCACUUGUGUAUUGGGAUAUUGUGUGCAUUGAGUUGAGCUAUGAAUCGUGCAAUCACACGACUGUAUGACCCUUUAAAGGCGACGAGUUAAUACUCAAUGAAUAUUAUGAUGUGAUCCAUUGUAGAAAUCCGACGAGUUGAAUCACUUUGAGGCGUGUUAACUCAUUGGCAAGUACACCAAAUUAUCACAAAUAGUAAAAUUAAAGCAGAAGUCCAAGUGUCGAAUCCACAUGAACUUUGUUUAUACUUAAGAAGGUGAAUAUAUAAUUUUUCAAGCAAUAAAUAAAUUGAUUUAAAAGGUUGCGAAGAAAACAAUAAAUUAAAUUGGCAAAGCAUUAAAUUAAAAUAAACAAGGUAAGAAAUUAAACAUGAAUUUAAAUUAAUUAAUCAAAAAUAAAAAAGAUGAGAAAAACCAAUAUUAUAGAAGUUAAAUUCAGAAGAUGAGAAUUUUGGAAACUUAGCCUACCAGUGCUACUCUUGAUGCAAUAUUAAUGAUUUUUCUCUAAUUAUGUUUAUUCUAAUUUUACACCUGCAUCUACUCAUAUACUCUAACCAAGAUCCCUCGAGGGGAGAGCCUAACUUAUCUAUUUUUUCUCCCAAAUUCAUUUGCUGAGAUAAAAUAGUUAAAUUGCAUUAAGAGUAAAGAUGUAUUCCAAGCUAAAUAACAGUCAUAUAGGAAAUUGCUAUGCUGGAUCUAAUGUGUGCAUGCACCAUUUGUACAACAUGUGGCAAAGGCAAUACAUGAACAAUGACCAUGAUGAUUAUCGUUCUUGGAUUUAACCAAUCUUAAUAAUGGAAACAAAUUAAAGAGGAAUCCUUACAUAGCAGGGCCGUGUACAGACAUUUUGGGGCCUAAGGCGAAAAUGUUAAAGAGGUCGUUUUUUUACAAGAAUUUUGAAGAGACUUAGUAUAUUAUAUAAAAUAUCAAUUUUUAUAUUAAUCUUCUAGCAUUUUUAGCUGCAAAAUCAUUUAUCAGAGUUUUAUAAUCAAGCAAUUCUAACACUUCACUUUCACCAUUGUCAGUAUUAUCUCUAGGUGGUUGUUCUACACCGUUAUCAGUAUUAUCUAUAGGUGGUUGGUCUAUAAUAUUUUCCUCGUUGUCAGUAUGAUCUAUCAGUGGUUGUUCUAUCACAUUUUCACCUAUUGAACUUGCUUCUGCGUCAUUUUCAUGAAUAAUAACAAAUUUAUCAAGGGCACCACGUUGAGAUUCAAUUAGCUUUUCAACUUUUUGUUUUUUCUUCAAUUUUUCAUAACCAGAUUCAUACUUUCUAUUUGACAUUUUCUUUUGUAAAUAAUCAAAAUAAAAAAAUUAACUAAAUAUUAAAGAAAUCUAAAUAAACUAAACUCUAAAAUAAAUAUAGAAAAUGAUGAUCGAUGAACAGAACGAUAGAACCUGAAAUUGGAAACAGAUAGAGAUUUUGUUGUUUAGAUGUUGUGUCAGGCGCAAGGGUGCUACGUGAUACGUGUUGUAUUGCUGCGUACCCAGAGUCAUGCCCGUGAAAUGAAUCGUUCCACCAAUCCACCGAGAUGGAGAUGAAAGGCUCUGUACGUGGGACGCCGGGAUGUAUGUGGUUUAUAGGCAUUCAGAAUCCAGAGAGGUUGAGCCGCAUAGACAAAGUUUGAUCAAUAGACAAUAGGUUUCCUUCAAGUGAAGAAGAAGAAUAGAUUUUUUUUAUGAACAGAAGAUAAGGAGAUGAAAAAACGUGAAAAAUACAGUCUGGAGAGUGAGAUAUGUUAGUUAGGGAAUUGAGAUGGGUUAAAGGAAAGUUAAUAGGGAUUUACUUUUUUGGGAUAAAUAAAAUACUUUAAAUGACGAUAAUUGUAAUAUUGGUUAAUUUUUAAAAAGAUGAUAUUGAUUGACUAAUUUUUAGGGAAGAGAGAGAUUCUAAAUUAUUUUAUUUUGAUCAGUUAAAAUUUGUUAAUAGUUAGUAAUAAAAAAAAUUUAGGGACCUAAAAAAAUUUUUUUUUUGGGUCUUAGACUGAUGCCUAAUUUGCCUAAGACAUUGCAUGGCCCUGUUACACAGUUGGGAUUUUGUGUUGAGACAUACAGUGGAAUAAAUGUACGACAAUGGCACAAAUCCUUUGAGAAACAAAUUGUCUCCUUUGAAUAAAUGUACAACUAUGUUUGCAAUGAAUGAUGAUGAUAUUUUUGUAUUCUAAAUCAAUGCAAACUUGUGUCUCCUUUCCGUCUCUUCUGGCAUCAGAUUCAUCUACUCUCUUACAAGAAACAAAUUGUUGAGUCUAUCUUGAACGUCAAACAUUCCAUACUCAAUGUGCUCAUAAGCUUGGUUACCAAGAAAAUCCUGCAACCUCCCAAUGAAGUUUCCAUAUGCUGGCAACAAGAUCUUUUCUAUGGAUUCUAUUAUUUUUCUCCUUAGCUCCUCAGUGAAGACAAACCACGUAGACUGAAUGUUGCAUAUAUCGUCGAAGUGUCCGUUGAAGGAACGAAGCUUGUUUUUCAUUAACUGUGCCGCAACAUUAGGCUCUGACUCAUUGAUAUCCAGCUUCAAAAUAUCCAAGAUCUUAUUCCAUGGGUUUCUCAGAUAGAGUUGAAGGUUUUCUUUGAUACUAGUUGUGUUUUUUUUAAUCCAGUCAUUUCCAAGAAUAUGUCUCAAUCCACGCUGCAUUGCCCUUCGUUGUAUGUAGCUUCGAUUGUUGAUGAUGAAAACGUAACCCAAAAUAGGAUCAUGGUAAUUUUGGGAGUUGGCUUCCAAACUGCUGUCUAACAGGUCUGUUAUCAGUGGAAACUUUCUUUGUUCAUCAGUCAUGGGGUUCAAAGAACCUCGCCAAUCCUUAUCUAUUUUGUCAGCGUAGUCCAACACAUCAAGGGUAAUCUGAUGAACCCUGCCGCCGGGAACAAUGGCUUUCUCCUUAACACCGUAAGUAAGAGUUAACAAUUCCCCGAACUUACGUAUUCCGUGUAAUGCUGAGUAAAUGUUCAAAUCCAUCAACAACUUGUCCCGCAAUGCAGGGUAACUGGCCAAACUCUUCCGAAACCCGAACCUAUGUAUUCCGGGUAAUGCAGGGUACUUAUCCUCAAGGGGAAUGGACCCUUCAAAGACGCAUUCACAGAGUCUUCUUUCAUUGGGUAAUAGUAUCCUAUCAGCUAAGCACAAAGCUUUUAUAAAAAACUCGGUCUUAAUCGUGUUGCCAAUUUUGAGCUCUAUCAACGCUGAUAGUAUCUCACUCAGAAACUCCCUCCGCCAAGUAAUGUACACGUCAAUGCAUUCCUCCCUUAACCCUGCUGUCACCAUCAGCCUUACACAUUCACGAAGGUCAUUGAUAAUAACUGAUGGCAGAGAAUCCACCACCAAGUUGUCAUCGCAAUGCAAUUGCAGAUCUGGAGUCUGGACAAGACUAGCUUUGAGGUAUUCCUCAGCAUGCUUGAAAAUUGUUAAAAUAACAUUUUCAUUCUCCUUCUUUAGGGCCUCUAUGCAACCCAUGAACUGUGUCACAAUACUAUUGUUAUCACUAUCAUUAAUUCUUUGUUGUGAUUCAGUGACUAACAAUCCUAGAUCCUCAAUUUGUGGAGGGGAAUCAGCCUCUUGUGCCACAGAUACAAUAGCCUGGGGGGAAUCCACUUGAGUAACACUAGAACUAGGUUUAGCAUCUCUCAGAGGAGUUUUCUUUGAACCAAACAUCCUCUCUCAAUCUCUCUCUAAAAAAACAGUGAUCUUGUGUAUCAAUUUGGUCCUGGAACUUCAAAACAAGCAAAAAUCCAAAGAUCAAAUUCAAGUUCUUUAGCAUAAACCCUCCACUAAAAAUUGAAUUUUGAAAUUAAGAUGAAUCCAAAUUCAUAUCAAUUAAAGUGGAAUUACGUAAAUUGAAGUUCAAAGAAAUGUAUAAUCGCAG
RNAcentral lists this long non-coding RNA (74761 nucleotides) under Glycine max (soybean). Its description in RNAcentral is "long non-coding RNA (GMAX_LNC001256)". The record is from RNAcentral. Lineage: Eukaryota; Viridiplantae; Streptophyta; Magnoliopsida; Fabales; Fabaceae.